This 56178-nucleotide long non-coding RNA is filed under the name Gossypium barbadense (sea-island cotton). RNAcentral's name for it is "long non-coding RNA (GBAR_LNC014012)". Lineage: Eukaryota; Viridiplantae; Streptophyta; Magnoliopsida; Malvales; Malvaceae. The record is from RNAcentral.
GGGACUUGUACUUGUAAGGGUGCUUGGGUGGUGAUGGUGGUGGAGGUGGUGGAGACUUGUACUUGUAAGGGUGCUUGGGUGGUGAUGGUGGUGGAGGUGGUGGAGACUUAUACUUGUAAACUGGAGAUGGUGGGGGUGGAGACUUGUACUUGUAAGGGUGCUUGGGUGGUGAUGGUGGUGGUGGUGGGGACUUGUACUUGUAAGGAUGCUUGGGUGGUGAUGGUGGUGGAGGUGGAGGAGACUUGUACUUGUAAGGAUGCUUGGGUGGUGAUGGUGGAGGAGGUGGUGGAGACUUAUAGUUGUAAACAGGAGUUGGUGGGGGAGGAGAUUUGUACUUGUAAGGCUUCUUGUGUGGUGGUGGUGGUGGAGAGUAGACCGGAGGAGGCGGUGGUGGAGACUUGUAAUGGUAAGGUGGUGGUGGGUACUUCUUAGGUGGUGGUGGAGGAGAAGAAUAAGUGUAAUCUGCUGAGGUUUCAAAAGGCAAAUUGAGAGACACUGCUAAAACUAAAAGAGUGAGAAAGAGAGAGGUCAUUGAUGACCCCAUUUUCCCCAUCCUUACUUCUAAAAAUGGGUUUAAUUUGGUUAUGCUCUUAGCAGCCCUCUUCACUCCCUUUAUAUAGACUUUGUUUUAAAGUUACAAUCAUGAUAAAAGUGUGAAGGUGGACCGAACCUUCAGCAGCAUUGAAAAAAGACGUUACGUUUAGGUUAUUAGCAUGGUAUGACAUAAUAAUUCUCUAUUCUCUUCCUUGUCGUUUCCCAUAAAUUUAAUUUAAAUAGUCCAUUUGCUAUAUUUAUAUUUCUGUUUCUCUAUUAAAUAUUUAUCAAAUUCAUUUCUCACUCCUUAUAGAAUAUGAAUAAUUAAUCAUUAAACUCGAUUUAGUAAAUACUUUAAAAAAUGAUUUAUCUUAUUUUUAUGCUUUAAUUAAGGCAUCAAAUCAUUAAUCCCAUUUGAUAUUAUGAAAAUUUAUCACUUAAUUGAUCAAAAUGUGAUUCUUGGCAGGAAAACAUAAUUUACUUUCCUUAAAAUGUAAUUUUUAUUGAGAGUUAUUUUUCCACUAACAAUAGAAAGUGAUUCUCUUUAUAAUUCGUGAAAAAAUUACUUUCACAUGUAAAUAAAAAUUGUUAGGAUAAAAUUAACUUUUCUUUUAUUUAUGUUAAGGUUACUAAUUAACUUAUUCAACUUUAAUAAAAGAUAAACAUAGUUGUAGCUUGUUUGUUGAUGUUAGUUUUUUGUCUUUACAACUUCAAACCAUUAUUCUAGUGUAAUUUUUUUUUCUUUCUAAAUAGUAGAUAAGUAUCUAUAUUUUAUUUUGCUAUAAGAAAAUUAUAUUUUUUAGCAUACAAAACUUAAGAUAACUUGUAGAAUCAAGUAGUUGUAUACCUAUUACUCUAGCAAUAAUAAUAUUGACAUUGUCUACUUUCAAAUUAAAAUUUCAAAUUAGUUCAUUGCCCAAUUUUCUCAUUAAAAAAAAUUAUAUAUAACAUGUCAACUUAACGAAACUUACAUGAAAUUUUGUAUGUGUUAAAAAUGAAAAAUAUGGCGGUUAUUAAAAAAGAUGUCAUACAUCUAAAUCAAACUACUAAUUUAAAAAUUAGUAUUGAGAUAAUUUCAAGCCAUAUAUGCAAUAUUUGAGUAUACUUGAACUUAUACAUACAAAUUAGUGAGGAUUAAAAUUUUGUAAAUUGUACAUCUUCACAAUCUUGCGUUAAUAUACAAUUUUUUUAAUGUAUUAAUAUAAUGUUUUAGAUCAAGACGUGAAAAAACAUAAUUCAAAUAUUUGUUAAUAGUAAAAAAUUAUUAAUAAAUAUUUAAUUCAAAAUUUAUUAAUAAUAAAAAUUAUUGAAAAAUAUUAAAUACGUUAAUAUUAUUUUUAUUUAAUAAUGAUACUUUUGUACAGUAAUCUUAUAUUCCCAAAUAAGUGUUAAAUGUGUCAAGAUUUUAAUCAAUACUUUCCGGUGAUUACCAAACGUUGUGAAGUAACUUCUUAAACAAUAAUAUUCUUAUCAAUCACAUUCCAUUAAAAUUUUAACAUAGAAAAGCACCAAAACGCCCCCUUAAAAUCGUGGUAAGUCUUGUUUGUCUAAAAUUUAAAUAUUUAUUUUAUUAUUUAAAAUAUAUUAAUUUUCUAAAAAAAAUCAUUAAUAUUUAUAUUUCUAAUUUUAAACAUUCUUUUGUUAAUUAAAUGAUAGUCUAAACGGUUAAACUCAAAUCGAAAGCAUUUUAUCUUAUAUUAGAUUAUAUGAAUCAUAUUAUGGUUGAAAGUAAAAUGUAUAAAAUCAAUACAAACAUCAAAUAUUAAACUUCCACUCAAUAGAUUUUAAAAUUUCUAAUUUUAUCACUAAUCUAUUUUAAGAUUUUUUUAAAAAAAAUCGUACUUUAGAUUAUCUAAUUUAAAAUUUUAUAAAAUUAUUAAAAAAUAUUCUUGUAAUAAAAAAAAUUUGUUUUAAAAUUUUUAAUUUUUUAUAUAACCAAUGAAUUUUUUACGUUUGUUUUAACUGGUUAUCUAAACAAAAUAAAAACUUAUUUAGUUUAAAUAAAGUGGUAAAUGUGAAAGCACCACAAAUCACAACUACAUUAGUUUUAUAAUUGGAUUAAUUUAAUCACCGGCAGAGGAAAUGUGUUAGUUCUAGCUACCAACAAUUCAUUUUAAUUCCUUUAAAAAUAUUAGAAAAAACCAAUUUGAUUUUUAAUAAUAGAUCUAAUUACUUAAAGGAACAUGGGUGAUGUGCACAUGGCAUACAAGCAUAAAAAAGAACAAAAAGAUUAAGUAUCUUUGCAAAAUAUCUCUCUCUGAAAUAAAUAAAACUUAAAAAAAAACAAUUUUAUUAUCAAAAUAAAAAGAAAAUAGUGUUUUUCUUCACAAAAAAAGAAAAGAAAAGAAAUACUAGUGUUUUUAAUUAAAAUAGAGUGAUCUGGGUAGAAUCUUUUACUUAAAUACUGACAUUGACUUUAUAAGCUAUUUUUUAUCAAAAGAAGAAAGAGAAAAGCAUCCGAUUGAAGAUGUGAAUUAUUAAGUUAAAAUUAAUCAUACAUGUAAAAUAUUAUUGUGCUUUUUUCUAGCCCUCCGAAAGACAUUAUGCUUUGAUUACAACAUUCUUCCUCAGAGAUGAGGUUUGAAGAUGAACUCGGAUGCAUUUAGAUUUUUACAAGACGAAAGUAAAUUAAAGGAUGUUAGUACUUGUAUUCCGAUACGCUUAUAAUACAGAAAGCAAGUAAUAUGUGACUGUACAUAAUGGCUAUGAGGCGAGGAUAUGAUACGAGAAGAUAGAGAUGAGAGAUUGCACUUAAGGGGUUAGCACCUCUUUUCUUUUUGUGUUUGGUCCCCAAAGCAUAUCUCUUAUUGGCUGAUGUUGCAAGGCGGUCCCAUAAGUUGGGCUAAAAGUGCUUGAUAGCUAGAAUUAAUAUUGUGGUAUAACAUAUGUCACCCCUAUAUUUGAAUAAGGUUACAAAGUGACUACUUGAAGAUUUAAAAAAGCAUGGAGAUAAUUUUGUUGCGAAAAUUAAAAGUAAGAGCUAAAUUGUUUGGCUUUAUUAGAGUAUAGACUCUGUUAGUCUAUUAUCAUUUUGUUAUAUAGGCUGGAAUAUUAUUAGUAAGCAGUUAGCAGCAGUUAGUCAUACAAGUAUAAAUUCUAUUCAUGUAUUGUUCAAAGAUAAGCUAAUAAUACCAGAAGAGAUUUAACAUGUUCAUUCUACUUUUUUUUGUUAUUCUUCAUAAUACAGUUGUUAACAUGGUCUCAGUCGCCAAAUUUCUUGGAGGUUGCUUCUAUUGUAGAUCCAUGGCCAAUUCCACUGAUUCUACCUUCGCUGGUCGUAGCAGUCCCUCAUUCUCAGUUCAUGUUUGGUUCAAUCGUUUCCUCGUCAUGGCACUGUGAAGUUAGAUGAAGGAAAUUUUGUACAAUGGCAACAGCAUAUCCAAUUGAUAAUUGAAGGAUAUGAACUCAUAAGAUUUUUAGAAGGGACGUUACCUGCUCCGCCUCGCUUUGUGUCAUCUCCGGAUGGAAACUUAGCUCUGACUCCCGAUGCAUCCCUGUUUGUUCAGCAAGAUAAGUUACUCGCUUAUUGGUUACUUUUUACGAUUAGUGCUCCUUUGUUUUCUUGUUUUACAACUGCUAAGACGGCGUGUGAGGUUUGGAGCACUGCGAAUUGCCUAUUUGCUGCUGCCACUAGAGCCAAGCUUUCGCGUAUUAAGCAUGAACUCCAGUCCAUCACGAAAGGCGUGAUGACUAUCAAAGAGUAUAUUGCUAAGAUUCAAAAUACUUGUGCGUUACUCGAGGAAUCUAGAUCAGUGGUUUUAAAGGCUGAAAAGGUAGAGAUCAUUCUUGCCGGCCUAUUGUCUGAUUAUGAUGUCGUUUUAACUCUGGCAUCGUUCUCAACUGAAACUUUUUCGUUAUAAAAGAUUGUUGAUAUGCUUCUGGAGUUCGAAAGCCAUCAGACUCAAGCGGUGAACGACGUACCUUUUCAUGCUCAUUUGGUAGAGGCCACUUCGGCGACAUCCGUGGAGGACUCCGUACGUGGUGGUCGUCCUCCUUCUGGUGCUCGUAGGCGCGACUUUCGAUCUCAGCUUCAGUGCCAGGACUAUGGUUGCUAUGGACAUUUGGUACAAUGCUGUUAUUAUCAGUUCAACCGCGACUACAGUGAUCUGUCUGUUUUGACCAUGGCGCGGGUUUCGCCUGUUCAUGCUGAUCACAAUUAGCAUAACGAUGUUUUUGGCGCAAGUGGUCUCUCGACUAGCUGGUUUUCAUCAACUUGUCCUGGUCCGGACCCGUUCGUGCCUGGACAGUAUGUCGAUUCUUUGGUGGUGACACCGGCGUAUUUCUCUUAUGGCUCAUCAUGGUGAGGGUGGCCACAUUUGCAAAACAAUGCCUCCCUUGUGCCAAGUUUGUUGAAUGUUAAGGUUUCUAACCCUUUUGCUCAUAAUUUUGACGAUGGGGCAGGCUAGGUGUUUGGGCUCGCUGUUGGACCAAGCUCAAAUUGUGGCCAAUUUGGUGGUCCUCACUUACCGCGGAGAAUGGGCCAGCACGUUAGGCCAUUUGCUAGUGUUCCUAGGCCGACUGGUUCAGGCCAAGAUUUUGGGCCAUAUGGAAUUCGUAGGCUAACCAGUGCUGGUCCUAACAUUGGACAGGGUUCACUUGGGCCAAAUGUUAAUUUUGUUAGACUUGAGGGCUCUUUUGGGCAUGGACAAGGACUUUGGCCCACCACUGGCAAUGUUUCAGUGCCAAAUAAUGGGUCAUGCGUUCCAUGGCGCACUAAACUGACGGCGCACAUUAUUGAUUGAUUUCUCACUGUGUGUUGGGUUGCCUCACAUUCUUGAUUUUCAUGUGUCUGAUAUUUUUACUACCUCUGGGUCCAAUGCUAACACGACUCCGUAUGGGUCUAAUUUUGAUAAUGAUAACUCUUACAUUCCUAUGCCUGUAGGGACCUUGUCCUGGUGUCUUAAUUCAGGGUCUAUACAUCAUGUCUAUCGAGAAGCCUCUACCUUGAACGAGUCUACGCCAUACUCAGGUACAUCUCCUCUCCUCAUGGAUGAUAUUACUCCUACAAAAAUAUCAUGUGUUGGAAACUCUAUCUUGCCUACGAAGACUAAGCUGUUUCAUCUAUCUAAUGUUUUGUGUGUGCCAAAUAUACGGAAGAAUCUGCUAUCUGUCUCUCAAUUUGCUAAUGACAAUAAUAUGGUCUUUGAAUUUCACCCGUCUUAUUGAGGACAUCCAGACUCAGGAAAUUUUGCUUCGGGGCCACACUCGUGAUGGGCUCUAUUAUUUUUCGUAGGUUACUCAUGUUCCGUCUGUCGUUGUUCCUUCUGUUCACAACACUGGGCUCCAGAGUCGCAAUGCCGGUGAUGAUGUUUUUACGUUAUGGCACUACAGACUUGGUCAUCCGUCUGCCUCGAUUGUUAAACUUGUUCUCGAUAAGUGUCAAGUUGUUUCAACUAAAAUGUACCUUGAAAAUAUUUGUAUUGCUUGUCAAAAGGGGAAGUCCCAUAAACUGUCUUUUUCAAGUUCUACUACUAAAUAUACGGAUUUGUUUGAAUUGGUUGUCUUUGACUUAUGUGGACUGGCAUCUGUUGUCUGUAGAAAUAAUCUGUAUCAUGUUUCGUUUAUCGACAUGUGUAGUUAUUUUACUUGGAUUUAUCUCAUUAAACGUAAUUCUAAGGAGGUUGAAUGUUUUCUUCAGUUUCAGAAAAUGGUCAAAACUCAGUUUGGGAAAGAUAUUAAAAAAAUUCAAAGUGAUUGGGGUGGUGAGUUUCUUGCCUUUACGUCAGUUCUGGCUAGUCAUGGGAUACUUCAUCACCUCUCCUGUCCAUAUACAUCCGAGUAGAACGAUGUAGCUGAACGAAAACAUCGACACAUUGUUGAGAUGAGUCUUAUUCUAUUGGCCAAAGCUAACCUAUCCAUGGAUUUCUGUGGUUUCGUAUUUUACAAUGCCAUUCAUCUCAUUAGUCUUCUACCGACCCUAGUUCUGAAAGGUCAGUCUCCAUAUCAGGUUCUUCAUGGUAGUGACCCUACAUAUGAUCAUUUACAAGUAUUUAAGUGUUGUUGAUUUUCGUACCUGCGUCUGUUUCUGCAACACAAGUUGGAUUUUCAUUCUCAGCCAUGCAUAUUUUUUAGGUAUAGUUCUCAACAUAAAGGCUAUCACUGCCUCACACCAAAUGGUAAGGUCAUUGUCUCUCGUCAUGUUGUGUUUGAUGAACGUUGGUUUUUCUUUUCUUCAAAUGCUGUGAACACCGUUCAGUUAAGUCCAUGUAUCUCUACAUAUGUUCCUAUUGUUCGGUCUUCAUCUUGCCGCCCCACGACAUCUUCGCUUGUUCGACCCACUGAGUCAUCGACUCUUGCUCCUAAUUGUAGUUCCACGCUGUCUGUUUCAGUUGACACUCCGGCUGAAUUAGGUUUUACUCAUGAGGUGCAUCGGCUCUCUACCUCAUCCCUUGAAUCUCGUCAAUGCGAUCCAACUACAAUUCCAUUGGCUGUUCCAUCUAUUUCUCUGGAAUACUCAUAACACUAUUACUCAGCUAGACCCAAAGCUCUGUCUGUUGAAAUUGUCAACUGUGAGUCGAUCACGAUUGAAGAGGCGCUCGCUAGUAAGGAAUGGCAAUUAGUUGUCCAAGCUGAGUUUGUUGCUAUAAUGGUUAACUCCACUUGGGAGCUUGUUCCCUUACCUCAUGGUCGAAAAGUGAUUAGGUGUAAGUGGCUUUUUAAAAUAAAAAAAUCCUGAUGGGACUAUCACUUGACGUAAGGCUCGGUUGGAAGCAAAGGGUUGUUCUCAGGUACUCAGGUGUGAUUUCAAGGAAACCUUUAGUUUGGUAGUUAAACCUGCUACUAUUAGAACCAUAUUAUCUGUUGCUAUCUCCAACGGUUGGCAAUUUGGUCAGGUAGAUGUGAACAAUGCUUUUUUAAAUGGUGAUCUUAUUGACGAAGUGUUCAUGCAGCAACCUCUAGGCUAUGUUCAGAUUGGUCAAAAUGGUGAGCCCUUGGUGUAUCAUUUGACAAAGGUGUUGUACAGAUUAAGACAAGCUCCACGUGCUUGGUUUGAUAAAUUGAAACGUUUUUUUGUUUCUAUUGGAUUUGCUUUAUCCAAAUCUGAUGUAUCCUUAUUUGUUCAAGUUAAUUCGAAUCCACUAUUUAUGUUUUAGUCUAUAUGGAUGAUAUUAUCGUUACUAGAAGUACGAUCGACGGUAUAAAUGGCUGUAUUCAAUAGUUACAUAAUGUGUUUCCCUUAAAGAUAUGGGAGAUCUUUACUACUUCUUAGGCAUUGAAGUCACUCGGUAGUCCACUGGGAGUCUCCAUUUGUGCCAACGCAAAUACAUUCGGGAUCUUCUUGACAGUAGUUUUUUAGCUAAUGCAAAGAGUGUUCACACACCGAUGGUUAGUUCUUUUACGUUGUUUAAAGAUGUGGGAGAUCGCCUCGUUGAUCCUACUGGAUAUAGAAGUCUUGUCGGUGUAUUACAAUAUGUGGUCUUGACUCUGCCUGAUAUUGCUUAUGCUAUAAAUCAUGUUUGUCAAUUCAUGCAUGCCCCUACUACAGUACAUUUGGUGGCUUUGAAAAGAAUCUUGCACUAUUUAUGUGACACUAUUAAUCAUGGGUUAAUUUUGUCUGUUCAACAUAUUGUCUUUAGUUGGCUAUGCUAAUGCCAACUGGGGACUGGAUUUUGAUGAUCGUAAAUCAACAACAAGCUAUUGUUUGUAUUUUGGGUAUACACCCAUCUCUUGGUGAUCUAAGAGACAACUCUACUGCGUGAGGCGAAGUAUUUUGGCCGCACCAUGGCUGAGGUGAAGUAUCGAAGUCUAGCAACAACUACCAGUGAUGUUACUUGGUUAGUCUCUCUACUAACAAAAUUACAGAUUCAUUCUAUAGAUCCACAUACUAUUUGGCGUGACAACUCUAAUGCAGUAGCGGUCAUUGCUAAUCCGGUCUGACACUCUAAAUUUAAACAUGCCAAGCUUGAUCUAUUUUUUGUUCGCGAAAAGGUCGCUAAUGGUUCUCUCGUUGUCGGUGAGAUUCUAGCAUGUGAUUAAGUUGCUGACAUUCUCACAAAACCACUGUUCGUCUCUACUUUUGCUAGGUUUCGUAGUCUGCUUCAAUUCUUACCUCUUGAGAAGCUGGGUGAAGCCAGGUGAAUAUUAGAGUAUAGACUCUGUUAGUCUGUUACCAUUUUGUUAUUCAGGCUGGAAUAUUGUUAGUAAGCAGUUAGUCAUAGCAGUUAGUCAUACAAUUAUAAAUUCUAUUCAUGUAUUGUUCAAAGGUAAGCUAAUAAUACCAAAAGAGAUUUAAUGUGCUCAUUCUACUUUCUUUGUUAUUCUUCAUAAUACAGUUGUUAACAUGCUUGAUAUCAUCUCUUAGAGAGAACGAGGAGAGAUAAGAGUAAGAGUAUGAGCCAACUAGGGAUAAGGCUCUACCAUAAUACCUUGGAUGCAAUUAAAGUAAGAGUAAGAGCCAACUUGUUUGGCUUGAUAGCAUCCCCUUAUAGAAAAGGCUCUACCGCAUGGCAUGAGAGCAAUAAAAGUAACACUCAAUUUCUUGGGUUGAUAGCAUCUCCUUAGGGAAAAGGGUUUACCAUGUGACAUGAAAGCAAUUAAAGUAAGAGUAAGAUCCAACUUGUUUGUCUUAAUAGCAUCAUUUAAGAGAAAUAUCCCAAUCAAUUUAUUCAAAUAUGUUAAUCAAAUAAUGCAAGUUACAAUGUUCUGUCAGUUUUUCCUUUAAUUGUAACUGGGUUAAAGUUGGUAGUUGUAACUGCUACUAAUAGAAUGGAUACGGUAGAAAUGGUUGCAAGCAACAUAAGCAAAGAUGACUUUAAUGUCUUUGUAUUGACCACGUGAGAACUAUAGAAUGCAGAGAAUAGUAUGGUGAUUGGCAACAGAAUGCUACUAACCUUGAGGAUAGUAGACAGGGAUGGAUCCACGGGGGUUGGGGGCGGUCCCCCCUUGGAAUUUUUAAAAUUUUAAAUUUUAUAUAUAAAUUAUCAUGUAUUUUAAAUUUGGUGUCCACAUUGUAUAGCAUUCACCCCCCUUUUCCAAAUUGCAUUUCAUAUCAUUUGCCCUCUUAAGCCAUAAGGUUAUACUUUAUAUUAACAAAGUAUUUUCCAUUUUUUAAUUAUAUAAAUUUAAUAAUAAUAAUAAUAAUCAAAUAUUAAUAUAUGAUUGGCAUUGAAAGACUAAACAUAAAGGUCCAGUUGAGACUUUAAAGCCAAAUUCCAUAAUUAAUUAAUUGAUUUGGCCCAUACCAGUACAUAUUAGGUUAGCGAAAUUCUUGUAUUUUGAUUUGUAUGUCUUGCUAAGGAAUUAUCUUCCUUUGGUAAGGUGUUGACACUGCCAAGAGAAAAAGAAAGGAUUUUGAUGUCGAGAUUGUGAGCAUAGAGUAAAAAAAAUACAAAUUAUCUUCCUCUUAGCUCCUUAUGGAAAAAACCUCUCGGUAAAUAUUUUUGCAUAAAUUAUGUUUUUUAUUAAUUUGACUUAGUUUUUUUCUUUUUUCCUAAUACAUUGUUGUUUAAUAUAUUCUUACAAUCAUCAGGUUUUUUGACUAAAUUAUGGUCAAUAAAAACAUCGAAUCUAUUUAAAAAAAAAGAGUGUCAGAAAGCAAUAAUGAUCAACCGGUUCCUCAACCUUCCAUUAUUAGUGAAGAAAAAUCAAAUAUCGGAUCUUCCAAAGCUCUUGAACAAAAUAUCAGGUCUUCUUAAGCCCAAGCUCCUAAAUGCGGUAUGGAGUCUUCCCCAACUCCUGAACGAGAUUGUAACAAUCCAUACCCAAUUCGAUCACCAAAUCCAAGUAGAGAGCGCCGCAACUUAAACCAUAUGAAUUGAAUAAUAAAUAUUUGAAAUUUAUUAAAGUAUCGAGUUCUUGGUGUAACCCUCAGUAUAACAAUACGAAACAAUUAAAUCAAUGAUACGCCAGGAAAAAAUGUUUUUAGGCAAAACACAUGGCGGAAGCCUUACAAAAUUUUAUAAGUUUAUAUAAAAUGUAAGAUGAGUUAAUCCCAUACAACAGUUUCAAGUGCAUCGUUGGCGGUUAAAAGAACAUUCAAAAACUAUUCGGCGUAUAUGCCAAUGAGACAAUCACGUGGAACAAGAUAUAGUAGCUUAAACACAUACAUCACUUACCACGUCAUCAUAACAUAUACUAACCAUAUAAACAAACUUAUCGAGCUGCGAACUAACAAGUUCACCCAAACAUCUAGGGUUAGCGAUAACUUAUUAGAAGAGCCCGCCAAACCCUAGAGUUCGCCAAAACCUGGAGUUCACCAAAUGGCGACUCCCAUAGAAUACGCCAAACACACAACCAAAAAUAAAUACUCUACUAAUUUACUCAUUUUAUAUUCUUAGCAUAAACAACUAUGCACCAAACAGUAACUUGAUACAUUAUCUUUCGGGCGAGUUGUUACAAUUCUCCCCCAUUUAGAAACUUUUGUCCUUGAAAUUCUUACCGGUGAAUAACUGAGGAUAUUGUUCUUUCAUCGAACUCUCUCUUUCCCAAAUGGCUUCUUUUGUAUUGUGAUUUAUCUAUAAUACAUUAACCAAAGGAAUUCUUUUACUUCUCAACUCUUUUACUUCCCUUGCUAAAAUACAAACAGGUUCUUCUUCAUAGGACAAGUUUUGCUCCACUUCCAGUGCUUUGACUUGUACCACAUAAUCUGGAUUGGAUUGAUAUUUUCUUAACAUAGAUAUAUUAAACACAUUAUGUAUAUUUGAUAACUCUGGUGGCAACACCAGUUUGUAUGCCACUGGACCAACUUAUUCCAAAAUCUCAUAUGGUUCUAUGAAAUGCAGACUUAAUUUCCCUUUUUGUUCAAACCUUAUGAUCUUCUUCCAAAGAGAAAACUUCAUAAAUGCAUUGUCACCCACUUCGAAAGAGAUUAUUUUCCUUUUUAGAUCAGCAUAAGCUUUCUGGCGAUCUUAAGUUACUUUCAGAUGAUUUCUAAUGAUAAAGACUUUCUCUUCUGUUUCUCAUACUAAAUCAAGACCAACUAUUUUCCUUUUACUGAGUCUCAUCCAAUAGGUAGGAGAUCUGCACCUUCGUCUAUACAAAGCUCCAAAUGGUAACAUUCCCAGACUGUCAUAAUAACUAUUAUUAUACGCAAACUCUAGCAAAGGAAGAUAUCUUUCUCAAUUCAUUCUAAAAUCUAUAAUACAACCUCUAAACAUGUCUUCUAGAACUUGAAAUACUCUUUCAAAUUGCUCAUCGAAUUAGGGAUGAAAGGUAGUACAGAAUCAUUAUUUCGUUCCCAACGAUUCUUGCAGUUGUCUCCAAAAUCUCAAUGUAAACAUUGGGUCUCGAUCUGAAACUAUGGAUGUUGGAAUCCCAUGAGGCGUACAACUUCAGAAACGUAGAGAUUAGCCAACUUUUCCAAUAAGUAAUUUGUGCGGACAAACAAGAUAUGGGCUAACUUAGUAAGUCGAUCUACAAUUACCUAGACUGAGUACUUCUUCGAAAGGAUGAGAGGGAGAGCCAAAACAAAAUCCAUGGUGAUCUUAUCCCACUUCCACAUAGAUAUCUCUAAAAGGUACAACUUGCCUAAGGGAACCUGAUGUUCUAUUUUAAUCUGCUGACAUGUCAAACAAAUGGAAAUGUACUUUGUUAUUUCUUUCUUCAUUUCAAGUCAGUAAUACAAACUUAUCAAAUUAUGAUACAUUUUAUGUAAAACUCUCAACCCAACUCGAAAUGUCGAGUCUGGAUCUCGGGUAUUACUAUACAUAAUACUUGGCAAAAUAUCAAAAUAGUUGACAAAUACUCUUUAUAGAAAACAUUUUCUUAUUAUUUUAACCAAAAGACUAAAUAUUUAAUAACAAGAGAAAAUAUUAAAAACAAAAAAAAAUUAUUACAUCAGACUUGGUACAACUCAUUAUAGUAUAAAAUUUUGUUAAAGACAUACUCUUGGGGCAUAACCCUAAUCUAAGCCACUUUUCCACUAUAUGCAUAAUAACCCACUUCGCCACUAUCUUGGCGUACUCCUAGCAUCGUCACUCCUAAUGCAUUCUCUACCCAUACACCUGAAAACAACAACAUUUUAAGCUUAAGAUAACUUAGUGACUUUUAUCCCAAAAAUACCUUGGCGAGUACUUUAUAUUAUUUGAAGAACAUUUGUGCGCCAUCUAUCCUUCUGAACCACCUUCUUCUGAAUUAAGUGGAUACUAUUAUAGAUUCAACUUUCACUUACACGCCAACUAUCAUACUCUUAACAAACUCACUUAUUCUAGAAUAGUUGUUCACAUAUAUUAAUCACUAAUUGAUACAUUCAUAUUUGGCGAAUACUUACGCAGAUCUGAAUACCAUCAAACUACUAAUCAAAUCAUACCUUGAUCCGAUACCAUACAAACUCAUACUGAUAAUGUACUACACAAAUUAUUCAAAUGAAUUUUCCACUACUUUGUUACAGGACCCCAGAUAAUCAUCAUAACAAUAACUCAAUUUUCAUAUGAUUUCAGAAGAAGAUAUAAUACAACCCAAAUACGGCAAAUUCCAGAUAACUCAGAUUCAACAACUGCUUAACACAUACGAACUCACAUUUAUAAUUUCUUAUGUCCCACAUAACUACGACUAUGUCUAUAUUCAACACUAACAAAUAAUCAUGACGGAUACCCUUCUUAUACAUAUAUGCAUUUCUUUUCUAGAAAUCUCUUAAGACUUACUCAAUUAUAUCACAUAUCUUAUUCAACCCUUAACUUUAGACAUAUCAUAACCCUAUCAUAUCAAUAUCUAUCACAAAAAAAAUCAGGAUUUAUCCAAAACUUACCAUAAAGGUAGAUAAUCAUAUUAUAUCAGACAAACUUAACUAAAUGUGCCACAAAGGCCAAACAAAAUAUGCCUUAAAGGCUUCAUACAAAAUCACGUGUUUACUAUCCCGACGGACUAUCACAAAAGGUGUCAUGGGUUUCUCCCACAUGGACUUAUACAUAAUUUCAUGUAUUGUGAUCUGCCAUUUUGAAUCAUACGUUAUCGAAGGAUACUCCAUAAGCAUACAUACAGACAUAUCUUGCCAUGUGUCUCAGCCACAUGGCUUAAACACACAUUCAUGUACUGUGAUAUGUCAAUCCAGUCUUACUCUUAUUAGAGCCUACACCAUGAGUGUUUUCAAAUCAUAUUAAGAUGUUGUAGGUCUCAACCUCAUAGUCUUACACUUGUUUUCAUAUCGUGACCUGCCAGUCUAGUUAGCAAUAUAAUUGCCUACCAGAGGCUUCAUAGAGGAACAUUUGCUUAGAUUCACUUACCUAGAUGAUCUGUAACACCCCUUACCCGAGACCGUUGUCAGAGUCGAGCACGAGGUAUUACUUAUCUUAUCUUACUAACUCGAAGCAUAAAAACUUGUUUUAAAAAUUAAUUUCACUAUUUAUAGCAAUUUGUCCAAUCGCGCAGCAGUUACUAAAUUAAUUAUAACUCGAGAUACGGAACUUGAAAUUUAACUCCGUAAAUUUUCCCUGAAACUAGACUCAUAUAUCUUCCUACCAUAAAAAUUUUAGGAUUUUUAGUUUAUCAAAUUAGUACAGUUUAUUAGUUAAAUUCUCCCCUGUUUCACAAAUCGACUGCCCUGACCUCUUAUCACUAAAAAUAAAAUGUAUCAUUGUGGGAUUUUCGUAUAGUGCUACCGCUUGCUUCUACAGAAAAUAGACUCAAUAAGGAAUCUAUACAUAUAAACUACAACUCAUAAAUAUUUUUUUAAAAUUUUUAAUGAUUUUAUAAACUCAAAACAGGGGUCACCAAAAACUGUUCUAACCCUGUCUCACCAAAAUUCACAUAUCUUAAAAUAUAAAUUCCUUUUGCUACACCGUUAUUUUUAUGUGAAAAUAGACUCAACAAGAUUUAUGUCAUUCAAUAUUUAAUUCAUUUUAUACUAUCCUAGGUGAUUUUUCAAAGUCACGUCACUGUUGCUGCCUGAAUUCUGUUUCUUUGCAAAAUUUUACCCUUUUAUGAUUUCCAUGCAUAGUUUAUCACUUAGACUCUUAUAACAACAAACACUUCCAUACUUAACCAUUUUAGCAACCAUUCAUCAUCAAAUACUUACACAUCAUUCUUUAGCAAGAUCAUAAAUACAAACAUUUAAAAUAACUAAAUCCCUUUACAUUCCAUACUCAACAUGGUUCAACAUAAAAAUACCGAGUUGCUGUGGUUGAUAGUGUGGACGAUCUCCGACUUCUUUAGGAUCCUUGAAGUAACCUUGCAAUACUAUAAGAGAAAGAGAAAUAAAAGACGUAAGCAUAAAGCUUAGUAAGUUUACUAGCAAAUAAAUAACAAUAUUUAACUAGAUAAUUAAACUCAAGUGUCUAUAUCUCUAGUUUACUAUUUAGUUAAUCUCAUUCUAGUUCUCUUGCUUGUUUACUUAGUAUACUUGUGUGCAUAACUUACUCCUCUCUUGCUGUAUAGUUGAAUAUCAAUUGAUAAUAUAAUAAGUUAUUAACUCUUAUAACUUACCUGAACUUGCCAUUUAUGUUUUUAACUGAACUUUCCUGAACAUGAUUCGUUAUUUAGCCCGUUGAGCUACAUUGGAACAAUAAGGAUACUCGGGUCUCUUCUGAUAAUAACAUGCCAAAGCCAUGUCCCAGACAUGGUCUUACAUGGGAUGUACUCAUGUCGGUGCCCAUUCCAUAUCCCAGACAUGGUCUUACGGGGGACCUCUCAUCUCGGUGCCAAUGCCAUGUCCCAGACAUGGUCUUACAUGGGACCUCUCAUCUCGGUGCCAACGCCAUGUCCCAGACAUGGUCUUACAUGGGACCUCUCAUCUCGGUGCCAACGCCAUGUCCCAGACAUGGUCUUACAUGGGACCUCUUUACCCAAAUGUCAUGACAUUCGUAUCCAGUACCAUCCUUACUAUUCAUGACAACCGAUAUAUAUAUAUACAUACUCACUAUUCACAAGGACUCGAACGAUUAUAUACUCAUCAACCACCUUAAAACAAUGUUCAUAAACUUAUCCAUUUCAUAUAAACAAAAGCAUAUAUAUUUAUAACCAAUGCAUAGAAUCACUUAAUUUAAACAGAUUCACUGGCACUUCACCUGAUAGGCUUAUAGUUUAAUUCAGUUCACCGGCACUUAGCCUACUAGGCUUGUAGCCUGAUUCAGUUCACCGGCACUUAGCCUGCUAGACGUAUAGUCCGAUUCAAUUCACCGGCAUUUAGCCUGCUAGACGUAUAGUCUGAUUCAAUUUACCGGCACUUAGCCUGCUAGACGUAUAGUCUGAAUAAUUUUACUGGUAAUAAAUCCGAUAGUAAUUUCUCCGUUGAAAUUGAAUUAUAUUCAAUUCUGCGUAACAAACAUGCACUUAAAACAUACUUGCAUAAUUCACAACAAUAAUUUCAGUCCAAAGAGCUGUAAUUCAUAUUCGAACUAUAUAUAUAUAAAUCCAUACAUAAAAAUUCAACUCAAAAUUUAUAACCUAUAUCUUUGAACCACAUAGGUACAUGAAAUUCAAACACCAAAAUCCAGCUCAAUAACUUCAUGAUUCAACCUAACAAAUUUAUGUAUAUAACUUUUUAUCUAAUUUCAAUACAAUAACUUAUACAUGUACGUAUAUACAUAUUCGAAUCUAACAUAUACAUAUAUAAUUUCAUACUUAAAUAUAUUCAAGACUUAUUCAUGAGUAUACAUAUAUAUUACAACUCACAUGUACAUAUAUAUACACAUUCAUACCUUUAACCAAGUCCAAGGCUUUAUACAUGUAUAUGCUUAUAUAUAUAUAUUCGGACCUUAUGUUUACAUAUAUAUAUUAUAUAAAUACCUUUGAUUAAAAACAAGUAUUUAUACAUAUAUAUAUUUUCGAACAUGAUACAUAUAUAUUUAUAUCAUUCAUACUUAAACAAAAUUCAAUCCAUAUACUUUCAAUUUCAGCUCACCAAAUUACUAUAGAUAUACAUGCAUAUAUACUGAUUUAAUAACCUCAAAUUGCUAAUAGACUUACCUCGGAUAUCAGCGGACACGAUCGAGUAUUCGAUUACUUUCGUUUUUCCCCGAUCCAAAUUCGUUUUCUUCGUUUUUUAUCUUAAUUAGACCUAGAGAUAGCCGAACCUUGUUGUUCUCUUUUCUUUUCUUUUCUUUUUCUUUUCUAUAUUCGGCCAAGAUGAAGAACAUGGCAUUUAAAAUUUGUUAUAUUAAACAUAUAUUAGCCUUAUUUUUAAUUUACUAUAUUAACCUUUACAUAUAUAUAACAUAUAUAAUAAGGUUACAUUAGUCCUUUGCCACCCACUAACUUACAUAGUGGACUAAUUGCAUAGUAAAACCUCUAAAUUAUAAAGACAACAAGAAUUAGGUCCUUUUAUAAUUAACCCCUAAAUUUUCAUUUUACGCGAUUAAGCCCUUUUAUUAAAUCGGACACUUAAACGACGAAAUUAAAACACGAAAAUUUCACACAAUCAAAUGCAUACAAAACAAUAUUAAUAAUAUUUUUCUAAUUCAAAUUUGUGGUCCCGAAACCAGUAUUCUGAUUAGGGUCAAAAACCGGGUUGUUACAACUCUCCCCCCUUAGGGAUUUUCGUCCCCGAAAAUCUUACCGGUGAAUAGGUUUGGAUAACGCUCUUUCAUUGUAUCUUCUAACUCCCAAGUUGCUUCUUCAACCCCAUGUUUAUGCCACAACACUUUAACUAACGGAAUUUUCUUAUUUCGUAAUUCUUUGAUCUCACGAGCCAGAAUGCUAAUCGGUUCUUCCUCAUAUGUCAUAUCAGAGUUAAUUUCAAUCUCCGUCGGACUAAUCACAUGUGAAGGAUCAGAUCGGUAUCUACGAAGCAUCGAAACAUGGAAUACGUUAUGAAUCUUUUCUAACUCAGGCAGUAACAUCAAUCUAUAAGCAACCAAUCCAACUCGCUCUAUAAUCUCAUACGGUCCAAUGAAUCUCGGACACAAUUUGCCUUUACGACCAAAUCUGAGUAUUUUCUUCCACGGUGAGACUUUUAAAAACACUUUAUCCCCGAUCUGAAAUUCUAUAUCCUUUCUUUUCAAAUUCGCAUAAGAUUUCUGACGAUCCGAUGCUGAUUUCAGACUGUCCCGAAUCACUUUCACUUUCUGUUCGGUCUCUUUAAUCAAAUCAACCCCGUGUAUCUUAUUUUCACUGAGCUCGGUCCAAUACAGUGGUGUACGACAUUUACAACCGUACAAAGCCUCAUAAGGUGCCAUUUUGAUACUAGAUUGAAAGCUAUUAUUAUAAGCAAAUUCAAUCAAAGGUAAGUAUCGUUCCCACGUACCUUCAAACUCGAGAAUGCAACAUCUCAACAUAUCCUCAAGUAUCUGAAUGAUUCAUUCAGAUUGACCAUCUGUCUGCGGAUCGAAAGCUGUGCUAAAAUGUAGUUUCGUACCUAAAGCAUCUUGUAGUUUCUUCCAAAAUCGCGAUGUGAAUCUCAGAUCUCUGUCUGAAACAAUAGAAAUAGGUACACCAUGCAACCUCACAAUUUGUGAAAUAUACAAUUCCGCAAGUUUAUCGAGCGAAAAAUCUGUACGAAUCGAAAUAAAAUGUGUCGAUUUUGUCAACCUAUCAACAAUAACCCAGAUUGCAUCUAUCUUGCUCGGUGUCAACGGUAAAUCGGAUACAAAAUCCAUCGUGACUCGAUCCCAUUUCCAUUGAGGUAUCAUGAUCGGCUGAAGCAACCCAGAUGGUACCUGAUGCUUGGCUUUAACUUGCUGACAAAUUAAACAUUUCGAAACAAAGUCAGAAAUGUCUCGUUUCAUACCUUGCCACCAAUAGUGCUGUUUCAGAUCGUUAUACAUUUUCGUGCUACCCGGAUGAACAGAAAAUCGACUACUAUGAGCUUCCUUCAAAAUCAUCUAAAUUAACUCUGAUUUUUUCGGAACACAUAAUCGGUUUCUAAAUCUCAAACAAUCCUCAGCAUCAACUAAAAACUCCGAAUCAAUAUUUAAGUCACAUUGAGCUCGUUUUGCAGUUAAAUCAUUAUCGACCUUUUGAGCUUCACAAAUCUGUUGUACAAAUAACGGUUUUGCUUUCAACUCAGCUACUAUCGCACCAUCAUCAGACAUAACCAUAUGUGCGUUCAUUGCACGCAAAGCAAACAGUGAUUUUCGACUUAGGGCAUCAGCAACAACAUUAGCCUUUCCCGGAUGAUAGUCAAUCACAAGCUCGUAUUCUUUCAGCAAUUCUAACCAUCGACGCUGUCUCAAAUUCAGAUAUUUCUGAGUCAUCAAAUAUUUCAGGCUUUUGGGAUCGGAAUAAACAUGACAUCUUUCACCAAACAGAUAGUGACGCCAUAUUUUUAACGCAAAUACAAUAGCGGCCAAUUCCAGAUCAUGUGUCGGAUAGUUUUUUUCAUGCGGCUUUAACUGUCUCAAGGCAUAGGCUACAACUUUGCCUUCCUACAUCAAAACACAACCCAAACCAUUUAAAGAUGCAUCACUAUAGAUAACAAACUCUUUACCCGAUUCGGGUUGAACUAAGACUGGAGCUUCGGUCAAAAGAACUUUCAACUGAUCAAAGUUUUUCUGACACUUUUCUGACCACUCGAACUUAACGUCUUUUUGUAGUAGCUUUGUCAUCGGGGUCGCAAUCAUAGAAAACCCUUUCACGAACCGUCUAUAAUAACCAGCGAGCCCCAGAAAGCUUCGAACAUCAGAGACAUUUCUCGGAGGUUUCCAAUCAAGUAUAGCUGAAAUUUUACCUGGAUCAACUCGAAUACCCGAUGCUGACACAACAUGGCCCAGAAAACUAACUUCACGUAACCAGAACUCGCAUUUACUGAACUUUGCAUACAACUGUUUAUCUCGCAAAGUUUGUAACACAAGUCUCAGAUGUUCAGUAUGCUCGGUUUCAUCACGAGAGUAGAUCAAAAUAUCAUCUAUAAAUACUACCACAAAUCGAUCCAGAUACUGUCUAAAAAUCUGAUUCAUCAAAUCCAUGAAAACAGCAGGUGCAUUAGUAAGUCCAAAAGGCAUAACCAAGAACUCAUAAUGUCCGUACCUCGUUCGGAAAGCUGUCUUUGGCACAUCAGAGUCUUUAACUCGCAACUGAUAGUAGCCUGAUCUCAGAUCUAUCUUCGAAAACACAGUAGCCCCUUUCAACUGAUCGAACAAAUCAUCAAUCCGUGGUAACGGAUACUUAUUCUUUAUAGUCACCUUAUUGAGUUGCCGGUAAUCAAUGCACAUUCUCAUUGUUCUGUCUUUCUUUUUCACAAAUAGAACUGGUGCACCCCAAGGAGAGAAACUCGGUCGUGUAAAACCUUUAUCAGUCAACUCUUGCAACUGUACUUUCAAUUCUUUUAAUUCGGUCGGUACCAUACGGUACGGAGCUAUCGAAAUUGGAGUUGUCCCUGGUACUAACUCAAUACCAAACUCUACCUCUCGAAUAGGUGGCAAACCCGGUAAUUCUUCGGGAAACACGUCUGAAUACUUACACACUACUGGCACAGAUUCAAUCUUCUUUUCGGUCACUUUACUAUCAAGAAAAAAUGCAAGGUAAUCUUCACAACCUUUUCUCACAUACUUCUGAGCCGACAUCGAGGAUAUUAUUGCUGGUAAACCAUUCAGAUCAUUAGAUUCAAUCCGAAUAAUCUCAUCAUUCUGACACCGUAGAUCAAUAGUUUUCCGUUUGCAGUUUACUAUAGCAUUAUGCAGAGUUAACCAAUCCAUACCCAGAAUUAUAUCAAACUCGUCAAAUGGUAGCAACAUCAAAUCAGCCAGAAAACAUAAAUCUCGAAUCAUCAACGGACAAUUCUUGCACACUUUGUCAACCAAAACACACCGGCCCAAGAGGUUCAAUACUUUAAUUACAAACUCAGUAGACUCAACAGGCAAAGUCUUACUGAAUACUAAAGUCUCACACACAUAAGAAUGAGUCGAACCAAGAUCAAUCAAUGCAAUAACAUUAGUAUCAUAAAGAGUGAAAGUACCAGUAAUAACAUCUGGAGAAGAAGCCUCCUCCCGAGCACGGAUGGCAUAUGCUCUGGCAAGUGCACGAGCCUCAGAUCGAACUGCCAUGUCCUUUGUUCCUCUCUGACUGCCACUUACAUUACUCAAUUGCCUCGGCGGUCUACCUCGUACAGGUACUUUACUCGGUCUGGUAUUCUACACAGUGUUUUGCUCAGCUACCAUCGGACACUCUCGAAUGAAAUGAUCCUUUGAACCGCACUUAAAGCAAGACCGAUCAUGUAAUCUGCAAUCUCCAGGAUGCCAUUUCCCACAAUGCUUGUACUCUGAUCUAUUUUGUCGAACACUACCAACGCUAGCAACUGAAGUAGCUCGUGAACUCACAGGGGGUCGAUCUCGAUCAUACUUAGGAAACCCUGCAGUAGCUUUAGAUCGGCUAUGAUCCUCUCUGGAUUUCAUUGAGGUCGACUGGAAUGAUUUACUGAAUGAUCUUUUACGAGAAUCUCGAGCUUCAUAGCCAGCUUUCCUCUUCUCUUUACUGAGCUCCUUAACUUUACAAGGUCGUUCAACAAGUACUACGAACUCUUUUAUCUCAAGUAUACCAAAUAACAGUUUAAUAUCUUCAUCCAGCCCAUCUUCAAAUCUUUUACACAUGAUAGCUUCAGUCGAAAUACAUUCUCGAGCAUAUCUACUGAGUCUCACAAAUUUCCGCUCAUAUUCUAUCACUGUCAUACGACCCUGUUUCAAUUCAAGAAAUUCCUUAUGCUUCUGAUCAAUGAAUCUUUGGCUGAUGUAUUUCUUACAGAACUCAAUCUGAAAGAAUUCCCAGGUCACUCGCUCUUUCGGAACCACCGAUACUAGUGUAUUCCACCAGUGAUAUGCAGUGUCCCGUAGCAAAGAUAUGGCACAUUUCAAGUACUCAUCAGGGGUGCAAGAUAACUCAUCAAACACUCGAAUAGUAUUAUCAAGCCAGAAUUCAGCUUGCUCAGCAUCAUCAUCAUCAGUAGCUCUGAACUCUUCGACCCCGUGUUUUCAAAUUUAGUCAACAGGAGGCUUAAGUAAUCUCAUCGGAUCACUUACUUGAGGUAUAAUAGGAAUCGAAGGUGGAUUAGUCGGGGGUGGAGUUUGUUGUGCAACCGGAUUAGUUCGGACAUAUUGAGUAAACCAGUCAUUCAUCAUUUGGUAGAAGGCUUGUUUAGCCUCUCCCUCCUGGUUACUCGAGGUCGGUCGAGAAUCUACCAGCUCUGUCCCUUGUGUGGGAGCAGGCGCUAUACUCUCAACAUCAUCGACUACGGCUGGAUCGGGAUCCAUUACUAUACGAAAACACAUUUUUAGACAUCAGCAGUCAUCGCACUAUCUUGGUAUAAAAAUAUGGCAUGUAUAGCUAGACUCAUACAUGCUACAUUAGUCCAAGAAUCGAUUAAACCGUAGCUCUGAUACCAAUAAAAUGUAACACCCCUAACCCGUAUCCGUCGCCGAAUUAGGGUUACGAGGCAUUACUGAACAAAUACAACCAUUUUUAAAACCAACUGAUCACAAACAUGAAAAUUAAAUCAUUUUCACAUAGCUAUUUAUAAUUUACAAUCAACAUCUAACCAACAUCGUACUCAAACCUAUACAUGCCAUAAGAUCAAGUUCAAAUAUUUAACAAAAUACCAAAAGGGGUCGAAAGUGUGAUAGACUAUGCUGAUGAUCCCCGAGCUCGUAACGCAUCUCCAAAAUCUAUAAAAACAAAUGGACAAAAACAAUCAAAGUAAGCUUUUAUAGCUUAGUAAGUCUAUAGCAUAUCUAAAAUACAUAUAAAAGAAUCAUAUAAUUCUUAAAAUAAAUUUAUUGAAAUCACAAUUAUCAAUUAUAAUUACUAAUCGAACAUUGCUAUAUUAAGUCAUCUUGUUUAAAUCUAAAAGGAUGUGUAUUUAUCUAAUACACAUGAACGGACAAAUGUAUAUACAUUAUAUGCAUAUAAUCAAUUUACUAACAUAAUCAUUAAUUGCAUAUACGGAUUUCUAUAGUACUUAUUGUUCGCACUUAAUCGGAUCCAUUUAAAUAUAAUUGUUCAAAUACAUAUACCAAAAGCAUAAUAAUUUUAUACUUGAUCAACUAUAAGUGCCGAAUGCACAUAUACACCUAUACCCACCUAUGCCGAAUGCAUACAUAUAUACACAUAUAUAUAUAUCCAACAAUUUCGUGACAACCGAUAUAUAUAUACAUACUCACUAUUCACAAGGACUCGAACGAUUAUAUACUCAUCAACCACCUUAAAACAAUGUUCAUAAACUUAUCCAUUUCAUAUAAACAAAAGCAUAUAUAUUUAUACCCAAUGCAUAGAAUCACUUAAUUUAAACAGAUUCACUAGCACUUCACCUGAUAGGCUUAUAGUUUAAUUCAGUUCACCGGUACUUAGCCUACUAGGCUUGUAGCCUGAUUCAGUUCACCGGCACUUAGCCUGCUAGACGUAUAGUCCGAUUCAAUUCACCGGCAUUUAGCCUGCUAGACGUAUAGUCCGAUUCAAUUUAUCGGCACUUAGCCUGCUAGAUGUAUAGUCUGAAUAAUUUUACUGGUAAUAAAUCCGAUAGUCAUUUCUCCGUUGAAAUUGAAUUAUAUUCAAUUCUGCGUAACAAACAUGCACUUAAAACAUACUUGCAUAAUUCACAACAAUAAUUUCAGUCCAAAGAGCUGUAAUUCAUAUUCGAACUAUAUAUAUAAAUCCAUACAUAAAAAUUCAGCUCAAAAUUUAUAACCUAUAUCUUUGAACCACAUAGGUACAUGAAAUUCAAACAACAAAAUCCAGCUCAAUAACUUCAUGAUUCAACCUAACAAAUUUAUGUAUAUAACUUUUUAUCUAAUUUCAAUACAAUAACUUAUACAUGUACGUAUAUACAUAUUCGAAUCUAACAUAUACAUAUAUAAUUUCAUACUUAAAUAUAUUCAAGACUUAUUCAUGAGUAUACAUAUAUAUUACAACUCACAUGUACAUAUAUAUACACAUUCAUACCUUUAACCAAGUCCAAGGCUUUAUACAUGUAUAUGCUUAUAUAUAUAUAUAUUCGGACCUUAUGUUUACAUAUAUAUUAUAUAUAAAUACCUUUGAUUAAAAACAAGUAUUUAUACAUAUAUAUAUUUUUGAACAUGAUACAUAUAUAUAUUUAUAUCAUUCAUACUUAAACAAAAUUCAAUCCAUAUACUUUCAAUUUCAGCUCACCAAAUUACUAUAGAUAUACAUGCAUAUAUACUGAUUUAAUAACCUCAAAUUGCUAAUAGACUUACCUCGGAUAUCAGCGGACACGAUCGACUAUUCGAUUACUUUCGUUUUUCCCCGAUCCAAAUUCGUUUUCUUCGUUUUUUUAUCUUAAUUAGACCUAGAGAUAGCCGAACCUUGUUGUUCUCUUUUCUUUUCUUUUCUUUUUCUUUUCUAUAUUCGGCCAAGAUGAAGAACAUGGCAUUUAAAAUUUGUUAUAUUAAACAUAUAUUAGCCUUAUUUUUAAUUUACUAUAUUAACCUUUACAUAUAUAUAUAACAUAUAUAAUAAGGUUACAUUAGUCCUUUGCCACCCACUAACUUACAUAGUGGACUAAUUGCAUAGUAAAACCUCUAAAUUAUAAAGACAACAACAAUUAGGUGCUUUUAUAAUUAACCCCUAAAUUUUCAUUUUACGCGAUUAAGCCCUUUUAUUAAAUCGGACACUUAAACGACGAAAUUAAAACACGAAAAUUUCACACAAUCAAAUGCAUACAAAAUAAUAUUAAUAAUAUUUUUCUAAUUCAAAUUUGUGGUCCCGAAACCAGUAUUCUGAUUAGGGUCAAAAACCGGGUUGUUACAACUCUCCCCCCUUAGAGAUUUUCGUCCCCGAAAAUCUUACCGGUGAAUAGGUUUGGAUAACGCUCUUUCAUUGUAUCUUCUGACUCCCAAGUUGCUUCUUCAACCCCAUGUUUAUGCCACAACACUUUAACUAACGGAAUUUUCUUAUUUCGUAAUUCUUUGAUCUCACGAGCAAGAAUGCUAAUCGGUUCUUCCUCAUAUGUCAUAUCAGAGUUAAUUUCAAUCUCCGUCGGACUAAUCACAUGUGAAGGAUCAGAUCGGUAUCUACGGAGCAUCGAAACAUGGAAUACGUUAUGAAUCUUUUCUAACUCAGGCAGUAACAUCAAUCUAUAAGCAACCAAUCCAACUCGCUCUAUAAUCUCAUACGGUCCAAUUAAUCUCGGACACAAUUUGCCUUUACGACCAAAUCUGAGUAUUUUCUUCCACGGUGAGACUUUUAACUUGCUCGGUGUCAACGGUAAAUCGGAUACAAAAUCCAUCGUGACUCGAUCCCAUUUCCAUUGAGGUAUCAUGAUCGGCUGAAGCAAUCCAGAUGGUACCUGAUGCUCGGCUUUAACUUGCUGACAAAUUAAACAUUUCGAAACAAAGUCAGAAAUGUCUCGUUUCAUACCUUGCCACCAAUAGUGCUGUUUUAGAUCGUUAUACAUUUUCGUGCUACCCGGAUGAACAGAAAAUCGAAUACUAUGAGCUUCCUUCAAAAUCAUCUGAAUUAACUCUGAAUUUUUCGGAACACAUAAUCGGUUUCUAAAUCUCAAACAAUCCUCAGCAUCAACUAAAAACUCCGAAUCAAUAUUUAAGUCACAUUGAGCUCGUUUUGCAGUUAAAUCAUUAUCAACCUUUUGAGCUUCACAAAUCUGUUGUACAAAUAACAGUUUUGCUUUCAACUCAGCUACUAUCGCACCAUCAUCAGACAUAACCAUAUGUGCGUUCAUUGCACGCAAAGCAAACAGUGAUUUUCGACUUAGGGCAUCAGCAACAACAUUAGCCUUUCCCGGAUGAUAGUCAAUCACAAGCUCGUAAUCUUUCAGCAAUUCUAACCAUCGACGCUGUCUCAAAUUCAGAUAUUUCUGAGUCAUCAAAUAUUUCAGGCUUUUGGGAUCGGAAUAAACAUGACAUCUUUCGCCAAACAGAUAGUGACGCCAUAUUUUUAACGCAAAUACAAUAGCGGCCAAUUCCAGAUCAUGCGUCGGAUAGUUUUUUUCAUGCGGCUUUAACUGUCUCAAGGCAUAGGCUACAACUUUGCCUUCCUACAUCAAAACACAACCCAAACCAUUUAAAGAUGCAUCACUAUAGAUAACAAACUCUUUACCCGAUUCGGGUUGAACUAGGACUGGAGCUUCGGUCAAAAGAACUUUCAACUGAUCAAAGUUUUUCUGACACUUUUCUGACCACUCGAACUUAACGUCUUUUUGUAGUAGCUUUGUCAUCGGGGUCGCAAUCAUAGAAAACCCUUUCACGAACCGUCUAUAAUAACCAGCGAGCCCCAGAAAGCUUCGAACAUCAGAGACAUUUCUCGGAGGUUUCCAAUCAAGUAUAGCUGAAAUUUUACUUGGAUCAACCUGAAUACCCGAUGCUGACACAACAUGGCCCAGAAAACUAACUUCACGUAACCAGAACUCGAAUUUACUGAACUUUGCAUACAACUGUUUAUCUCGCAAAGUUUGUAACACAAGUCUCAGAUGUUCAGUAUGCUCGGUUUCAUCACGAGAGUAGAUCAAAAUAUCAUCUAUAAAUACUACCACAAACAGAUCCAGAUACUGUCUAAAAAUCUGAUUCAUCAAAUCCAUGAAAACAGCAGGUGCAUUAGUAAGUCCAAAAGGCAUAACCAAGAACUCAUAAUGUCCGUACCUCGUUCGGAAAGCAGUCUUUGGCACAUCAGAGUCUUUAACUCGCAACUGAUAGUAGCCUGAUCUCAGAUCUAUCUUCGAAAACACAGUAGCCCCUUUCAACUGAUCGAACAAAUCAUCAAUCCGUGGUAACGGAUACUUAUUCUUUAUAGUCACCUUAUUGAGUUGCCGGUAAUCAAUGCACAUUCUCAUUGUUCCGUCUUUCUUUUUCACAAAUAGAACUGGUGCACCCCAAGGAGAGAAACUCGGUCGUGCAAAACCUUUAUCAGUCAACUCUUGCAACUGUACUUUCAAUUCUUUUAAUUCAGUCGGUGCCAUACGGUACGGAGCUAUCGAAAUUGGAGUUGUCCCUGGUACUAACUCAAUACCAAACUCUACCUCUCGAAUAGGUGGCAAACCCGGUAAUUCUUCGGGAAACACGUCUGAAUACUUACACACUACUGGCACAGAUUCAAUCUUCUUUUCGAUCACUUUACUAUCAAGAAAAAAUGCAAGGUAAUCUUCACAACCUUUUCUCACAUACUUUUUUGCCGACAUCGAGGAUAUUAUUGCUGGUAAACCAUUCAGAUCAUUAGAUUCAAUCCGAAUAAUCUCAUCAUUCUGACACCGUAGAUCAAUAGUUUUCCGUUUGCAGUUUACUAUAGCAUCAUGCAGAGUUAACCAAUCCAUACCCAGAAUUAUAUCAAACUCGUCAAAUGGUAGCAACAUCAAAUCAGCCAGAAAACAUAAAUCUCGAAUCAUCAACGGACAAUUCUUGCAUAUUUUGUCAACCAAAACACACCGGCCCAGGGGGUUCAAUACUUUAAUUACAAACUCAGUAGACUCAACAGGCAAAGUCUUACUGAAUACUAAAGUCUCACACACAUAAGAAUGAGUCGAACCAAGAUCAAUCAAUGCAAUAACAUUAGUAUCAUAAAGAGGGAAAGUACCAGUAAUAACAUCUGGAGAAGAAGCCUCCUCUUGAGCACGGAUGGCAUAUGCUCUGGCAAGUGCACGAGCCUCAGAUCGAACUGCCAUGUCCUUUGUUCCUCUCUGACUGCCACUUACAUUACUCAAUUGCCUCGGUGGUCUACCUCGUACUGGCACUUUACUCGGUCUGGUAUUCUGCACAGUGUUUUGCUCAGCUACCAUCGGACACUCUCGAAUGAAAUGAUCCUUUGAACCGCACUUAAAGCAAGACCGAUCAUGUAAUCUGCAAUCUCCAGGAUGCCAUUUCCCACAAUACUUGUACUCUGAUCUAUUUUGUCGAACACUACCAACGCUAGCAACUGAAGUAGCUCGUGAACUCACAGGGGGUCGAUCUCGAUCAUACUUAGGAAACCCUGCAGUAGCUUUAGAUCGGCUAUGAUCCUCUCUGGAUUUCAUUGAGGUCGACUGGAAUGAUUUACUGAAUAAUCUUUUACGAGAAUCUCGAGCUUCAUAGCCAGCUUUCCUCUUCUCUUUCCCGAGCUCCUCAACUUUACAAGGUCGUUCAACAAGUACUACGAACUCUUUUAUCUCAAGUAUACCAAAUAACAGUUUAAUAUCUUCAUCCAGCCCAUCUUCAAAUCUUUUACACAUGAUAGCUUCAGUCGAAAUACAUUCUCGAGCAUAUCUACUGAGUCUCACAAAUUUCCGCUCAUAUUCUAUCACUGUCAUACGACCCUGUUUCAAUUUAAGAAAUUACUUACGCUUCUGAUCAAUGAAUCUUUGGCUGAUGUAUUUCUUACAGAACUCAAUCUGAAAGAAUUCCCAGGUCACUCGCUCUUUCGGAACCACCGAUACUAGUGUAUUCCACCAGUGAUAUGCAGUGUCCCGUGGCAAAGAUAUGGCACAUUUCAAGUACUCAUCAGGGGUGCAAGAUAACUCAUCAAACACUCGAAUAGUAUUAUCAAGCCAGAAUUCAUCUCGCUCAGCAUCAUCAUCAUCAGUAGCUCUGAACUCUUCGACCCCGUGUUUUUGAAUUUUGUCAAUAGGAGGCUUAAGUAAUCUCAUCGGAUCACUUACUUGAGGUAUAACAGGAAUCGAAGGUGGAUUAGUCGGGGGUGGAGUUUGUUGUGCAACCGGAUUAGUUCGGACAUAUUGAGUAAACCAGUCAUUCAUCAUUUGGUAGAAGGCUUGUUUAGCCUCUCCCUCCUGGUUACUCGAGGUCGGUCGAGAAUCUACCGGCUCUGUCCCUUGUGUGGGAGCAGGCGCUAUACCCUCAACAUCAUCGACUACGGCUCGAUCGGGAUCCAUUACUAUACGAAAACACAUUUUUAGACAUCAGCAGUCAUCACACUAUCUUGGUAUAAAAAUAUGGCAUGUAUAGCUAGACUCAUACAUGCUACAUUAGUCCAAGAAUCGAUUAAACCGUAGCUCUGAUACCAAUAAAAUGUAACACCCCUAACCCGUAUCCGUCGCCGAAUUAGGGUUACGAGGCAUUACUGAACAAAUACAACCAUUUUUAAAACCAACUGAUCACAAACAUGAAAAUUAAAUCAUUUUCACAUAGCUAUUUAUAAUUUACAAUCAACAUCUAACCAACAUCGUACUCAAACCUAUACAUGCCAUAAGAUCAAGUUCAAAUAUUUAACAAAAUACCAAAAGGGGUCAAAAGUGUGAUAGACUAUGCUGAUGAUCCCCGAGCUCGUAACGCGUCUCCAAAAUCUAUAAAAACAAAUGGACAAAAACAAUCAAAGUAAGCUUUUAUAGCUUAGUAAGUCUAUAGCAUAUCUAAAAUACAUAUAAAAGAAUCAUAUAAUUCUUAAAAUAAAUUUAUUGAAAUCACAAUUAUCAAUUAUAAUUACUAAUCGAACAUUGCUAUAUUAAGUCAUCUUGUUUAAAUCUAAAAGGAUGUGUAUUUAUCUAAUACACAUGAACGGACAAAUGUAUAUACAUUAUAUGCAUAUAAUCAAUUUACUAACAUAAUCAUUAAUUGCAUAUACGGAUUUCUAUAGUACUUAUUGUUCGCACUUCAUCGGAUCCAUUUAAAUAUAAUUGUUCAAAUACAUAUACCAAAAGCAUAAUAAUUUUAUACUUGAUCAACUAUAAGUGCCGAAUGCACAUAUACACCUAUACCCACCUAUGCCGAAUGCAUACAUAUAUACACAUAUAUAUAUAUCCAACAAUUUCAUGACAACCGAUAUAUAUAUACAUACUCACUAUUCACAAGGACUCGAACGAUUAUAUACUCAUCAACCACCUUAAAACAAUGUUCAUAAACUUAUCCAUUUCAUAUAAACAAAAGCAUAUAUAUUUAUACCCAAUGCAUAGAAUCACUUAAUUUAAACAGAUUCACUGGCACUUCACCUGAUAGGCUUAUAGUUUAAUUCAGUUCACCGGCACUUAGCCUACUAGGCUUGUAGCCUGAUUCAGUUCACCGGCACUUAGCCUGCUAGACGUAUAGUCCGAUUCAAUUCACCGGCAUUUAGCCUGCUAGACGUAUAGUCCGAUUCAAUUUACCGGCACUUAGCCUGCUAGAUGUAUAGUCUGAAUAAUUUUACUGGUAAUAAAUCCGAUAGUCAUUUCUCCGUUGAAAUUGAAUUAUAUUCAAUUCUGCGUAACAAACAUGCACUUAAAACAUACUUGCAUAAUUCACAACAAUAAUUUCAGUCCAAAGAGCUGUAAUUCAUAUUCGAACUAUAUAUAUAUAAAUCCAUACAUAAAAAUUCAGCUCAAAAUUUAUAACCUAUAUCUUUGAACCACAUAGGUACAUGAAAUUCAAACAACAAAAUCCAGCUCAAUAACUUCAUGAUUCAACCUAACAAAUUUAUGUAUAUAACUUUUUAUCUAAUUUCAAUACAAUAACUUAUACAUGUACGUAUAUACAUAUUUGAAUCUAACAUAUACAUAUAUAAUUUCAUACUUAAAUAUAUUCAAGACUUAUUCAUGAGUAUACAUAUAUAUUACAACUCACAUGUACAUAUAUAUACACAUUCAUACCUUUAACCAAGUCCAAGGCUUUAUACAUGUAUAUGCUUAUAUAUAUAUAUAUUCGGACCUUAUGUUUACAUAUAUAUUAUAUAUAAAUACCUUUGAUUAAAAACAAGUAUUUAUACAUAUAUAUAUUUUCGAACAUGAUACAUACAUAUAUUUAUAUCAUUCAUACUUAAACAAAAUUCAAUCCAUAUACUUUCAAUUUCAGCUCACCAAAUUACUAUAGAUAUACAUGCAUAUAUACUGAUUUAAUAACCUCAAAUUGCUAAUAGACUUACCUCGGAUAUCAGCGGACACGAUCGACUAUUCGAUUACUUUCGUUUUUCCCCGAUCCAAAUUCGUUUUCUUCGUUUUUUUAUCUUAAUUAGACCUAGAGAUAGCCGAACCUUGUUGUUCUCUUUUCUUUUCUUUUCUUUUUCUUUUCUAUAUUCGGCCAAGAUGAAGAACAUGGCAUUUAAAAUUUGUUAUAUUAAACAUAUAUUAGCCUUAUUUUUAAUUUACUAUAUUAACCUUUACAUAUAUAUAACAUAUAUAAUAAGGUUACAUUAGUCCUUUGCCACCCACUAACUUACAUAGUGGACUAAUUGCAUAGUAAAACCUCUAAAUUAUAAAGACAACAACAAUUAGGUGCUUUUAUAAUUAACCCCUAAAUUUUCAUUUUACGCGAUUAAGCCCUUUUAUUAAAUCGGACACUUAAACAACGAAAUUAAAACACGAAAAUUUCACACAAUCAAAUGCAUACAAAAUAAUAUUAAUAAUAUUUUUCUAAUUCAAAUUUGUGGUCCCGAAACCAGUAUUCUGAUUAGGGUCAAAAACUGGGUUGUUACAACUCUCCCCCCUUAGGGAUUUUCGUCCCCGAAAAUCUUACCGGUGAAUAGGUUUGGAUAACGCUCUUUCAUUGUAUCUUCUGACUCCCAAGUUGCUUCUUCAACCCCAUGUUUAUGCCACAACACUUUAACUAACGGAAUUUUCUUAUUUCGUAAUUCUUUGAUCUCACGAGCCAGAAUGCUAAUCGGUUCUUCCUCAUAUGUCAUAUCAGAGUUAAUUUCAAUCUCCGUCGGACUAAUCACAUGUGAAGGAUCAGAUCGGUAUCCACAGAGCAUUGAAACAUGGAAUACGUUAUGAAUCUUUUCUAACUCAGGCAGUAACAUCAAUCUAUAACCAACCGAUCCAACUCGCUCUAUAAUCUCAUACGGUCCAAUGAAUCUCGGACUCAAUUUGCCUUUACGACCAAAUCUGAGUAUUUUCUUCCACGGUGAGACUUUUAAAAACACUUUAUCCCCGAUCUGAAAUUCUAUAUCCUUUCUUUUCAAAUCCGCAUAAGAUUUCUGACGAUCCGGUGCUGAUUUCAGACUGUCCCGAAUCACUUUCACUUUCUGUUCGGUCUCUUUAAUCAAAUCAACCCCGUGUAUCUUAUUUUCACUGAGCUCAGUCCAAUACAGUGGUGUACGACAUUUACGACCGUACAAAGCCUCAUAAGGUGCCAUUUUGAUACUAGAUUGAAAGCUAUUAUUAUAAGCAAAUUCAAUCAAAGGUAAGUAUCGUUCCCACGUACCUUCAAACUCGAGAAUGCAACAUCUCAACAUAUCCUCAAGUAUCUGAAUGAUUCGUUCAGAUUGACCAUCUGUCUGCGGAUGGAAAGCUGUGCUAAAAUGUAGUUUCGUACCUAAAGCUGUGCUAAAAUGCACACAAAAUAAACACACAAAAUAAUAUUAAUAAUAUUUUUCUAAUUCGGAUUUGUGGUCCCGAAACCACUAUUCCGAUUAGGGUCAAAAACCGGGUUGUUACAAUUCUGCUUCUUCUGCAUCAUCAUCUUUGGUAGCUCGAAAUUCUUCAGCCCCUUACUUCCUAAUCUUAUCAACAGGUGGUCUCUCACUGAUGACUAUACCUGCAGCUAGGGAAACUACAUGAGGAACCUGUGAAUCCUGAAGGGGUGGAGGUCUUACACCCGGAUUCAUACGAACGAACUCGGCAAACCAAUCAUUCAUGGCUUGGAAGAAGGCUUCUCUAGCUCCUCCUCCCUGUCUAACUGAUGCAGGUCUUUCACUAACGUUAACAUCUAGUGGCACCGUCCUUUCUGCGGAAGUAGGCGCAUUACUCUCUACUUCAUCUGCACCAGCUCGUUCAGGAUCCGUAACUAUAAAAUAAAAUAUUUUAAAAUCGUCAAGAGUCGUCACACUAUCAAAAUAUAUAAGUAUGGCAUGUAUAGGUAGACUUUUAUUCAUACUGCAUAUUUCUGAGAACCGAUUAAACCUGCUCUGAUACCAACAAAUGUAACACCCCUUACCCAAGACCAUUUUCGGAGUCGAGCACGAGGCAUUACUUAUCUUAUCUUACUAACUCGAAGCAUAAAAACUUAUUUUAAAAAUUAAUUUCACUAUUUACAGCAAUCUGUCCAAUCGAGCAGCAGUUACUAAAUUAAUAAUAACUCGAGCUACGGAACUUGAAAUUUAACUUCGUAAAUUUUCACUGAAACUAGACUCAUAUAUCUUCCUACCAUAAAGUUUUUAGGAUUUUUUGUUUAGCCAACUAGUACAGUUUAUUAGUCAAAUUCUCCCCUGUUUCACCAAUCGAUUGCCUUGACCUCUUAUCACUAAAAAUAAAAUUUCUCAAUGUGGGAUUUUCGUAUAGUGCUACUGCUUGCUUCUACAAAAAAUAGACUCAAUAAGGAAUCUAUAAAUAUAAACUACAGCUCCUAAAUAUUUUUUUAAAAAUUUUAAUGAUUUUCUAAACUCAAAAUAGGGGUCACCAAAAACUGUUCUAACCCUGUCUCACCAAAAUUCACAUAUCUUAAAAUAUAAAAUUCAUUUUGCUACACCGUUAUUUUUAUCUGAAAAUAGACUCAACAAGAUUUAAAUUCAUAUAUCAUUCACUCUUUAAUUCAUUUUAUACUAUCCUAGGUGAUAUUUCAAAGUCACGUCGUUGUUGCUGCCUGAAUUCUGUUUCUUUGCAAAAUUGUACCAUUUUAUGAUUUCCAUGCAUAGUUUAUCACUUACACUCUUAUAACAACAAACACUUCCAUACUUCACCAUUUUAGCAACCAUUCAUCAUCAACUACUUACAUAUCAUUCUUUAUCAAGAUCAUAAAUACAAACAUUUAAAAUAACUAAAUCCCUAUACAUUCCAUACUCAACAUGGUUCAACAUAAAAAUACCGAGUUGCUGUGGCUGAUAGUGUGGACGAUCUCCGACUUCUUUAGGAUCCUUGAAGUAACCUUGCAAUACUAUAAGAGAAAGAGAAAUAAAAGACGUAAGCAUAAAGCUUAGUAAGUUUACUAGCAAAUAAAUAACAAUAUUUAACUCAGAUAAUUAAACUCAAGUGUCUAUAUCUCUAGUUUACUCUUUAGUUAAUCCCAUUCUAGUUCUCUUGCUUGUUUACUUAGUAUACUUGUGUGCAUAACUUAAUCUUCUCUUGCUGUAUCGUUGAAUAUCAAUUGAUAAUAUAAUAAGUUCUUAACUCUUAUAACUUACCUGAACUUGCCAUUUAUGUUUUUAACUGAACUUUCCUGAACAUGAUUCGUUAUUUAGCCCGUUGAGCUACAUUGGAACAAUAAGGAUACUCGGGUCUCUUCUGAUAAUAACAUGCCAAAGCCAUGUCCCAGACAUGGUCUUACAUGGGAUGUACUCAUGUCGGUGCCCAUUCCAUGUCCCAGACAUGGUCUUACGGGGGACCUCUCAUCUCGGUGCCAAUGUCAUGUCUCAGACAUGGUCUUACAUGGGACCUCUCAUCUCGGUGCCAACACCAUGUCCCAGACAUUGUCUUACAUGGGACCUCUCAUUUCGGUGCCAACGCCAUGUCCCAGACAUGGUCUUACAUGGGACCUCUUUAUCCAAAUGUCAUGACAUUCGUAUCCAGUAUUAUCCUUAUGUAUCAACGGGACUUUUUAAUUUUAAUUCUCUAUCAUUUCAUGCUUGGAUAAUCAUCAAAUAAAUUCAUGAAAUAAAUUCAUAGUUGCUGGAAAAUAGCAGCAUUAAUAAAAAUUAUUGAAAUAUUUCAUUUAUUUACCGUAAACUUACCUUGGUACCGAAUAUAGCCCAAUUCACCAACUUAGUCUUCAACUUUAUUCUUUCCUUUGUCUAACCUCGAGUUUCAUUCUUCUUGAUCUAAAAUAGAAAAUUUAACUUAUUUAAUACUCACAUUCAUCAAAACAGCCCUCGACUCUAACUUUUCAAAAUUAUGAUUUUGCCCCUAAACUUUUACAUAAUUACAUUUUUCCCCAAGGCUCGAAAAUUCAACUUCAUCUCAUAUUCUUAUGUUUUAUGGCAUGCUGAAUAUUUUUCUCUUCUAUGACAAUAUCAAAUUCUCACUCUAACACUUACUUAUGUACAUUAGAGAUUUUUACCGAUUAUGUCAACUUACUCGUUUUUGCUUAAAAUCGGCUAACAAAAGUUGUUUAACAUAAUUUAUAGCUUCAUAUUCUAUCAUAAAACAUCAAAAUAAACACUUUUCACCUAUGGGUAUUUUUCCAAAUAUAAACCCUAGGUUAAAUUAUUGCUAGAAUAAGCUAAAUUAAGUUACCGGGACUCCAAAAACGUAAGGAACAUUAAAAACGGGGCUUGGGAUCACUUACUAUGGAGCUUGGAAGCUUGAAAACCCUAAAUAUGGCUUACCCCCUUGCUGAUUUCGUCCAAAUGAAGAAGAUGAGCAUAAUUUGUCAUCUUUUUCCCUUUUAAUUCAUUUUAAUUACUAGAUUACCAAAUUGCCCCUAACUUAAAAAUUUCCUAUUUCACUUAUCUCAUGUCCAUUUUUGUCUAAAAACUUAACCAAUGGUCUAAUUACCAUAUAAAGACCUCCAAUUUAAAGUUUCAUAACAAUUGGACACCUCUAACAUGUAGAACUCAACUUUUGCACUUUUUGCAAUUUAGUACUUUUGACUAAAUUGAGUGCCCAAACUUCAAAAUUUUCGAAUAAAAUUUUCAUGAAAUCAUUUUGUGAAAUCAUAGACCAUAAAAAUAUAAGAAAAAUAAAAUUUUCCUCAUCGGAUUUGUGAUCCCGAAACCACUGUUCCGAUAAUCUUAAAUUUGGGCCAUUACAUGAUCACCUUUUUACUAGCUCAUACAUCUCCUACAUCAGACCUUACAUGCAUGCUUACCAAACUUUAUUCUUUUUAACAAAACUUUAUACAUAUCAUCGUAGCACAUCUUUCAUCUUUACUAAACUCAUAUUUUUACCAAUUUCUGUAGACAUCAUCAUCAUCAUCCUAUAUAUAUGCUUCUUGUUUGAACAGUUCAUAUCAAAGAGUCAAGAUAGAGACCCACUUGACACUCACCUACUGCAGUUCAAAGCUCUAAACUUAACCAUCCUUCUCAAACCAGCAGUAAAAACUGCUUAUAGAACAUAGAAUCACCAUUAAAAACCCAUUUACAUACAAAUUACUAUCAUCUUAAUCACUUUUCCACUGUUAAUUUAUAAAUAAGUGUUAAGUAGUAAAUAAAUAAAAAAAUUAACUAAGUUUUCAAAAAAAAAGUCACUGUGACGAGAAGAAUGUUAAAAUUAAUUGGUGUUUGUUAACUCAUAUGUUUUUCUAAAAAUGGGUUAAGUUUUCUUCUGAAAUAAACAAAUGUUUUAAAAUGAUUGUUUUAUAAACUCCGAUCGUACUAUCCCAUCUUGGUGGCUGAUGUAAUAUCCCAAAUUCAGGUCUAACAUCUAAGUCGGGUUGGAUAGGUUACAAUAUAUAUAGAAAGAUUGAUAAAUAAUGCAAACUUGAAUACAAGCAAAGAAAGAAAUCAAUCAAUGUGAAUGACUAACAAGUUUAAAAUCAUAUAUUUGCAUUAUAUUUUGUAAAGCACAAGAUUGUCAUGGAAUUAGACAAUUUGUUUUGAUAAUGGUUAUAUUUUAUAUAGAUUUACUUUUAUGCACUUUCAUAUUGAGUUGAUCAAAAGUUUUGAAACUUUAUAGAAAAUUUGAAUGAAAGAGCAUAUUGAUAUAUAUGCUAUCUUGAGUGUUGAAUUAAGCAUUCUUUAGUAAAAGAGUGUACAUUUCGCACAUGGUAGGUGUGUUGGUUUCUUAUAUAUUAAUUAAGCACAAAUUAAAGAAAAAUAAUAUAUAUCACCAUAGUGUUGUAAUAUUUUGUAUAAUUUGUGAAAUUAUACAAGCAAAUAAGUUUACCUAUCUUGUUAAAUAAAACUCAUUAAGUUGGUUCUUAAUCUUGAAGAAUUAAAUAGGUUGGCUUCUUUAUUCAUUUUAUCCAACUACAAGUUAGAUUAAAGUUGUGGAAAUAGAAUGGUUGAAAAUUUGUGUUAAUGAGAAUUAGAGUUAUGGCCACAACUGAUGCCAACUAUUUCCUAAAAACAGGGAAUGAUGUCCAAAAACAUGCUGUAAAAUAAAAAUUUGGACAUGUUAGAAUAUGAAUUUAUUAUAUUAUAGUUUCAAUGUAAUACCCUUAUCCCAUCUCUGUUGCCGGAUUAGGAUUUCAGAGUAUUACUGAGAAAAAUAGAACAUUUAACUUUCCAACAGAAACAAUUGUACAAUUAAAUACCAACAUAUAACAAUUGAAUCUAAUCAUGGCAAAUAUUACACUUUUGGACCUUGAAUCGAGCCUAUGGGGCCCUAGAAACAGUUUAGGAACAAUCUGGGAUCAAAUCAAAACAAAUCAGAACAUUUUGAAAAAACAUAAAAAUUUAGGAAUACAGAGGUCACAGGCCAUAUGGCCAAGUCGUGUGACAUAGCCUAGAUUGUGUAAACAUCCGAAGUCAGGACACAUAGCUGUGUCCCAGCCUGUGUGUCUACUCAUGUGUAUAUUUGAAAUAGGGUCACACAGUCGUGUUGCAGACUGCCAAACGUGUGUGUAUUCAAAGUGAGGUCGCAAGACCAUGUGGCCGACCGUGCCACAAACUGUUUUGAGACACAAGGUCAUGUCUCAGACCGUGUAAAACAUGCACUUAAAAUAAUAAAUACACACGACCGUAUCUAGUGACUAUGUGUGGCACAUGGUCGUGUGGUAGCUUGUGUCUCAGGUCGUGUGCUCCAUUUUUAACCCCUAAAUCAAGCCAAUCAAGCAUCAUUUCUUAUACAACAAGACAUACCAUAUCUAACUAAUUUUACAUGGUUAAAAACACAUUCAAAUCAACAAAUACAUGCCAAAAUUUCGUUCAUCCUAUGUCUAACCAAUAUGCCAUCAAAAGGCACCUCAAUCCAUACAUCCAUUCAACUCAAGAACAAAGUUACAAUAAAUGAACAAGUUUUAUCAUUAGUUAACCAUUCAUGCCUAAAACCACUAAUCUAAUUGACCAAAAUAUGGGCAUACUCAACAAGCAACCAUUUCAAAACAUCAUCAUCAAAUCUUUAUAUACCAUUUAUGAUCAACUUAAUUAUAUUCAACACAAGUACACAUCCAAAAUCAAGCACAUCACUAAGUAUGCCAAAAUAACUUAACUAUUUACAUAUCAACAAUAAGACACCAUAUCCCAAAAUGAAAUAAAAAAGCUACCAAGAUGGUUGGAUAGUGUGUGCUCCAAAACAAUUCAUCCGGUUAGUCCACAAAACGCCAAAUCAACCAAUAUAGAUAAACAAAAAGGUAAGUUCUAAUUCUUGAUAUUCAAAUGCAAGAUCACACCACAUUAGUAUAUAUUUAUUUACAUCAUAAAUGAUACCUUCCAAAAUUCAUAACCAAUUCAUCAUCCACAAUUUCUCAAUACAACCAUUAAUAUUUAUAAACAAGAACUUCAUAGUAACAUUUAUCAUUUAGUAGUAAUAUAAUUAUCCAACAAAAUUGAACAAAUAAAUGCGUUUUAAGUCAUUUGAUACAUAGCCUGCUGAACUAUAGUAACUUGACUCGGAUACUCAUGAUACUACAUCACACCAAAGGUAUCAAUGAUGCAUAACAGAGGCACCGAAGUGCAGACAAAUGCAUGAAUGUGCAAUCAGAGGCACCGAAGUGAAAACAGAUGCACCAAAGUACAAACCCGUACGAGUGCGCAUUAAAACCCUAUUGGCAUGCUAAUCGUAUCCUAAUUGUUUACUACGUUCAACUGGGCAUUAUACUUAAAAUCAUAAUAUCAAUAAAUCCAUCAUUUAGAGGCACUUCUUAUUUCCGUACACAUACUAUAAAUAUGUAACUUUCAUUUCAAUAAUAUGCAAUAACAAUAAUUACCAUCAUCAAACAUUCAUUUUCUAUUUGUACUUAAUUGCAAAAUUUAAUAAUAUAUAAGUAACUCAUGAAAUUUCACAUAUAUACCAUUAACUAGAAAACAAUAAUAUAAUCAUAAAGUGACACACAUAUACAUAUUAUUACACUAUGAACUUACCUAAAAUCUACUUUCGAUUAAUACACAGGGACUACUCCGCUAUUUUUUCCCUUUUCUCGGUUAUUGUCUUUUUGACUCGGUUCUUGAUCUAUAUAGUAAUUAAAUUCAAUUUAUGAAAUUCACAUACAUUUAAAACUCAAUUCAAUGCAUGAUACCCUUAUGUUUUCAUUAUUUUCACAUUUUUCUUAAACUUUUACAUUUCUCACAAUUUAGUCCCUACAAAAUUUAACAAAAUUUUACAAUUUUCCAUGUUAGUUGAACUUCUUUCGAAACUAGUACAAUCCCUAAUUAUUCACAAUUCACAAAAUUUCUAUGCAAAUUUUAAUAAUUCACACAUUGAUCAUUAAACUCAAAAUUAACACAAAUUUUUUUACAAAAAUAUCCUAAUCAACAUUCAAAUAUGUACAACUACCAUUAAAAAUCAUGAACACCAAAAUUCCAUUACUAACCAAUCCCUAAAACUUUAACAUUUUUAUAAUUCCAUCCUCGGGUUUAAUAGUUUAAGUUACAACGAGUUCAAAAACGUAAAAAUUAUUAAAAACAGGUAAGAGAAACACUUACAUGCACCAAUUUGCUAACCGAAACUUCAAGCUCCAAAAAUGGAGUUUUUUUUUUCUUUUUCGGUGGGAGAGAGUUGAGAAGAUGAUGAUACCAUUUUUUUCUUUUGUUUCUUUUCUUUAAUCAAACUAAUUACUAAAUUAUCCUUUUAAUCUAAACUAAAUUAUUAACAUAGCAUGUCCGUAAUUAUCCAUUAACUAACCAUAAGGUUUAUCUAUCAACCAAGUCCAUUACUUUAGUUUUUCUUUAAAAAUCAAGCACAUUUAACAAAUAGAAGCCACUUUAGCAUCUUUUACAAUUUAGACCUUUUUACUAAAUUAACUAAACAGACAUUAAAAUUUCUUAGCCAAAUUUUAUUAUGACUCCAAUAUAACUCUAUAAGCAUAAAAUAAACAUAAAAUACUAACUCAUUUGUCGAAAUUGUGGUCCUGAAACCACCUUUUUUGAUACCACUGAAAAAUGAGAUAUUACAUUAAAUCUCUAAUUUAUGAUAAUGAAUGUGAGAGAAUAAUUUUCUUUGUUUAGAAAUACUAAUCAUUUUCUUUGUUUAGUAAUACUACAACUAGAAUGUGUUUCGACCCUAUUAUUAGAAACUAAUAAUGGAAACCCAACUUUUAAUUAGAAACCUCUAAUUUUAAAGUUUAAUAGGUAACACCCCGAAUUUUGGCCCUAGAAGAAAUAUGUUUUGAACAAGGGAACAGUUAGGAGACUGCACAUAAAUAUUUAGUUGUGCAAGGAAGUGACAUAAAUGAAUGUCUACUUCAGUGGUUGAGUGAUUUAGGAGUGUUUGGAACUGUCUGAGAAGUCAGGGAUUCAAGCAUUGCUUAUGCAAAAUUUUUAUUUUAAGUGAAUAAAAUCAUUGGAUCUAGAUAGUAAGUUCUUAAAUUAUUGUGGUUAAAAUAUGAUGCAAAAGAGUUGUUGGUCUAGUGGUAAGGGGUGUGUGGAGUGCACAUAGGGCCUAAGGUUCGAGUGGUGGCGCAUCAGAAAGGAAAUAUUUAUUUUGCUACUUGAGCUGUUUAGGUAGUGGAGUUGGACUGAAACACAACUAAGGGGAGUUUGCAUAGAAUUUGAAUGGAGUUGUUGGGGGAGUUGAGGAGAAACCGGUAGAAUAAUUUAAGGAGGGAUAAGGGGAGAGAUUUUAGGAGAAAAUCAAGGGAAGUGAGGGGAGUGAAGAAGUGUGCCGAAAGUGGACUUUGAUACUCAGGAAAUUUGGCCAGAAGGGAUACUGCUCAUUUUGGUAUACUUUUCAUUUCGGUUUUGUGUAGUGUUUCUCUCUCUUUUUGCUUUUUGGUGCCGAAUUUUUGCUAAGAUUUCGAGUACCACUCGGGUUUUUCUUUUGCUGCUUUUUUCUUUUAUCAUUUCUUUUGUUUUGGCCGAAUUUCUUUUUAGUUCCCUCCUUUGUCGAAUUCUUUUCUCUCUUCUCUUUGUUGCUUCUUUUCAUUUCUCUAUUUUUCCAAACCUUGACCGAACAGUGUUGAAGUAGUUCUGUGUUCCAUCUUUUGUCUAAAAUGCUCUUCUUCCUCUACUCCUUUUGAUCAACUAUUUGUCGAAUAUUGCCUUCUCUCCCCUUUUAUCUCUUUAAAUUUAUUUUCGGCUUGACAACAAUUCUCUAACAGUUCAAAUUUCUUGAGGAGUGAAAAAGUAUCGCAUAAUAUUAAAGUCAUCGAAACCUUUCUCUCAUCACUCGAUCAAAGGUAAGUAUGUAGGCUAGCAUUCUAAAGUGUAGGCUGAGUGCUUUCUAUGGUUUCAUAAGUUAUUAUGUUUGGAUUUAAACCACAUGAAUAAACAAUCCUAUUUAAUAAAAUCCGUUUGUAAUGCAGAUAUCCAUCAAAGAGAUUGUAGUCAACCUUCGUCAGUGAUAUAAGUAGGCUAAGUCACAUUUGACAAUCGAGGCUUUGGUGCUCGUGGAUCUUAGAGUGUUUUCACAAUCAGGUGUGUAAACACCCCACUGUAACCGUAGAACGACAAAAAGCUAAAAGGCCAAAAAUACGGUGUUUGAGACCACACAGGCGUGCGAUCUCUCAUGUGGUAAGCCCAACCCACAAAUCAUGGCCGAUAGACUGUAGAGGCCUCCAUGAACAUUUCCAUGGGCUUAGGCCGUAAUGGGCCACGUUGGGCCGAAAUGGGUCGUGUGGGUUCAAUAGGCUCGUGGGCACCAUACAGAUGAGAACCACGAUUUGUGAAAAAUACUGGACUGGGCUAUGAAGAUCUCAUAGCCGUGGAAAAAUCUGGGCUGAACAGGCCGCACAAGCGUGCGGGCCUACUUGGGCCGAGUAAUGGGCCUUAGGCCCAUUUGUACCAUUAUGACCAUUUAGGUUACCUGAGUCGCUCGAGGUAACUACGGACCUUUCGAGAGGUCGAUAUCUGCACCAAGACCCAAAAUAGGUAAAAUGAUCGAAAUACCCCUAUAGAGUAAAAUGACCGAAAUACCCCCAAAGGAUAAAAUGAUUGAAAUACCCCUAUAAGGUAAAACGAUCGAAAUACCCCCGUAGGAUAAAAUAACUAUUAUACCCCUAGAAGAUGAAAUGACUGUUAUGGCCUUAUGCUAUGUAUGACUGUUUUGCUCUAUGAUAUGUAUGACUAUGGUUGAGCAUGACAUUUUUCAUACACGUAUGAUAUUAUGUCAUGAUAUAUUGCAUGGGGAUGGAUUGUUAUAUUUGGAGGAAGUGUACUGUACUGACAAGGUUGCACGGGUCGCCCAAGACGACUGUGGACCUACUGAUGGCUAUAUGCCAUUUAUUUUACUGGCAGCUUUGCUGCAAUACUGUUUAAUGCUGCAACUGGUGCUAAUCUUGGUGUGUUUGGAUGGAUGGGUAGAUUUUAUCCCCCAUAUGGUGUGUUUGGCGGAACUGUAACACCCUUAACCUGAAUCCAUUCUGACAUUGUCUCACAAAAUUUAUUAUAUCUCAUAGUUUACAAUUUUAUUACUUACACCAUUUCUUCCAUGAGAAACUAGACUCAAUAAGUUUUAAUUCUAUAUUUUAUUCAUACUCUAAUUCGAUUUUCAUAAUUUAUGGUGAUUUUUCAAAGUGAGCCUACUGUUGUUGUCCAAAACUAUUUUAGUACAAGAUGUUUAUUACCAUGUUUAUAACACCCUUAUUUUCUUUCUCUACACUAUUUCUCAUCCCUUUCUCUUAUUUUCUCUUCACUUACAUAUUAAGAACAUAGGACCAUAUAUACAAAAAAACUUUACACUAACAUCAUUUCCAUACUUUUUCAAUAAUAUCAAACUUAAAAAUAUACUAAAAUCUUGAUGUACUUACCUUGUCAUAUUGAUUUUAAUCUUUAACUUGAUUUUCUCUCUCCUCCAGCUUCUAUUUCUUGAAUCUAACUUGAUAUUAUAGCUCCCCAUAGUCUCCUUGUAAUCUUUCUCUCUUGAUGGAUAUGGAAAUUCUUUUGAUUUCUAGAUGAAAAUAGUGAAUUUUUGGUGAAAGGACUAAAUUGUAAAGAAAGCAAAACUUUCUUUCUUCUCUUCUCCUCUUAACGUGAAUUGCAUGGAAAAGAUGGUGGGUUGGUUCCUUUUCAUCUUUCUUUCCACAUAUAUAUACUAAAUAAUAAAAUAAUAAAAUAUCAUUUAAAAAUCAAAUUAAAAUACUAAUAAACUAAUAUUUAUUUGUUUAUUUAAUCUAAAAUAUCUCCAACAUCAUCAUUAUCUUCUAGAUUUCUCUCUCUUCUAAUUGACCAUUUUGCCCUUCAUGAUAUUUUAAAAUUCCAUCCUUGAGUCAUCACUUAAUUUCGUAAAAUUUCAAUUUAGUCCCUCAAAAUUCCUCACCUUUUUUCAAUUUAGUCCUAAUACAUCCAUUUUCCUUAGUUUCUAGAUCAUUCCACCCUUAAAAUAUUUACACCAUUGGUCCUUCAAUUUUUUCAUAUUUACACUUUAACCCCUCAAUUUUUGAGUAUUUACUCUUGGGCAACAAAAUUUUUACGAUUUAAUCCUUUCUUGAGGUAAUAUGUCAUAAUAUACUUCCCAAUGUUGACAUAACUCCAAAAUUCCCUUUUUUGUCGCUUUAUUUCCUUAUUUUUUUAUAUCAAAGAUAAUAUCUUACUGUAAAAAUUUUUUUGGGGGGUAUUACAUUUCUCUCCCCCUCAAAAUAAAUUUCGUCCUCGAAAUUUCCUUAUUUUCUUUUGAUCAUGAACUUAUUUUUUCUUUAAUUCUAUAGUUCAUUUUUUUUGCAUAUAUUUACUUAGCUUAUCAUUUGUGUCUAUUCUUUAUUCUUUCAUUUCACAAUUUAUUUUUAAUUUAAUAUUUCAAACAUGAAUCAGAGAUAAACUUUUACCUUGUAACUAAAAUUAUUUACCUUUUUACCUGAGGCCCAGUGGACUAAAUAGAACACGUAGGAUAUAUGAAAUUGAUACAGAAGUGCUCUGUUAUACAUCAUUAAACAGAGAGCACUAAAGUGUUAUACGGGAGCAUAAAUGUGCUAAUAAUUGGAGAGCACUAGCGUGCUAUUAAUCAGAGAGUGCGCUAAGGUUCCUUAAUGAUAUACUACUAAUAUCCUAAUAGUUCUAAUCUCAUCUACUUGGGCAAAUUAUAUCAUGCAUGCAUACGACUUUUACACUUUGCGCAUAAUGCUUUUACAUACUUUACAAUUUAAACCUUGUACCAAUGAUUCGUAUAUUUAUACCUUCUCUACCUUUAAUACAUGUAAUAUAUUUCAAAAUUCACUAAUAAUCCAUAUAUAUCAUGUACUUCAUAUAUCAUUUUUACAUAUUAUGCAAUUUAGUCAUCAGCGCAAUAUUUCUUGUAGCAAUAUGUUUUUCUUUUAAUGACACAUAUAACAUUCAUCAUCGACAUGUAUUAUAAAACAUUUAUUCAUACUUUCAUGAGUUCCAAUUCAUCCUAAUCAAUUUUUUUUACUCAUAUACUUGAGUAUCACUUUCAACAUUAUCAGAAUUAGCUCGGUUAGGAAAACAUCUCUGUUUAUAAGUAAAACAAUUCUCAUCAGACUCGAGAGAUAUCACACUAUCACAGGUUACAUAAUGGCAUGCAUUUCUAGACUUCACAUAAGCUACGUUUGGUCCAAGAACCGACUAAAUCGUAGCUCUGAUACCAAUAAAUGUAACACUCUUAACCCGAAUCCAUUCUGACAUUGUCUCACAAAAUUUAUUAUAUCUCAUAGUUUACAAUUCUAUUACUUACACCAUUUCUUCCAUGAGAAACUAGACUCAAUAAGCUUUAAUUCUAUAUUUUAUUCAUACUCUAAUUCGAUUUUCAUAAUUUAUGGUGAUUUUUCAAAGUGAGCCUACUGUUGCUGUCCAAAACUAUUUUAGUACAAGAUGUUUAUUACCAUGUUUAUAACACCCUUAUUUUCUUUCGCUACACUAUUUCUCAUCCCUUUCUCUUAUUUUCUGUUCACUAACGUAUUAAGAACAUAGGACCAUAUAUACAAAAACUUUACAUUAACAUCAUUUCCAUACUUUUUCAAUAAUAUCAAACUUAAAAAUAUACUAAAAUCUUGAUGUACUUACCUUGUCAUAUUGAUUUCAAUCUUUAACUUGAUUUUCUCUCUCCUCCAGCUUCUAUUUCUUGAAUCUAACUUGAUAUUAUAGCUCCCCAUAGUCUCCUUGUAAUCUUUCUCUCUUGAUGGAUAUGGAAAUUCUUUUGAUUUCUAGAUGAAAAUAGUGAAUUUUUGGUGGAAGGACUAAAUUGUAAAGAAAGCAAAACUUUCUUUCUUUUCUCCUCUUAACGUGAAUUGCAUGGAAAAGAUGGUAGGUUGGUUCCUUUUCAUCUUUCUUUCCACAUAUAUAUACUAAAUAAUAAAAUAAUAAAAUAUCAUUUAAAAAUCAAAUUAAAAUACUAAUAAACUAAUAUUUAUUUAUUUAUUUAAUCUAAAAUAUCUCCAACAUCAUCAUUAUCUUCUAGAUUUCUCUCUCUUCUAAUUGACCAUUUUGCCCUUCAUGAUAUUUUAAAAUUCCAUCCUUGAGUCAUCACUUAAUUUCGUAAAAUUGCAAUUUAGUCCCUCAAAAUUCUUCACCUUUUUUCAAUUUAGUCCUAAUACAUCCAUUUUCCUUAGUUUCUAUAUCAUCCCACCCUUAAAGUAUUUACACCAUUGGUCCUUCAACUUUUUCAUAUUUACACUUUAACCCCUCAAUUUUUGAGUAUUUACUCUUGGGCAACAAAAUUUUUACGAUUUAAUCAUUUCUUGAGGUAAUAUGUCAUAAUAUACUUCCCAAUGUUGACAUAACUCCAAAAUUUCCCUUUUUGUCGCUUUAUUUCCUUAUUUUUUUAUAUCAAAGAUAAUAUCUUAGUGUAAAAAAAAAUUUUUUGGGUAUUACAGGAACAGAGUGGUGUGUAGAGGCUGGAUUGGGUAGGAUUUCUAACUGCAUAUCUACACUAAUUAAUGAUUUUGUAUUGUUACUACAUCGAUUAAUGAUAUUACAUACUGUUUACUGCAUGACUGAUAUUUGUUGCUGUUAUGGGCCAAGGCCCCACUGAUACUAUUACUGAAAUUGGGCAAAUGCCCUAUUGAUUAUUGGUAUUGUGAUGGGCUCAAGCCCAAUCGUUUAAUGUUACGGGAAAGGGCUUAGGCCCACACUGAACUGGACUGUUACUAUAACAGGCUCAGGCCCAAACUGUAUUUAUCUAUUGUUUAAUUGACUACUUACUUGUUAGGGGAUUGCACACUGAGUUUUCGUAAACUCAACCCGUUGUUUAACUGUACAGGUAAUCCCUAGUUGUAGUAGGGUCAGUGCUGCGAGGGACUCGAUGAUGGCCACACAACUGCAUCAGCUUUUGUUUUUAGCCUUUGAUUUAUAAGAAACUGAAUUUGGGUAUUUUUAUGUAAAAAGGCCUCUUUAAAGUUAUAAACUUUAAAUUGGGGUUUUUAUUUAUUUAGUUUGAUAUAAACUACUAGUUGUAGAAAAAGACGGGUUUUCAAAAGGUAAAUGUUUUCAAAGUUUCAAAAGGUAAAUGUUUUCAAAGACACCACGUUUUCGCAACAUUUCUAAAAAAAAACUUCCGCAAUGAAUGAGAUUUUGGAAAAUUUAUAACGUUUUAAAAGUGAUUAGCUUUUAAUGAUGCAUGCUUGGAAAUGAACAACCCGUUUUGGAAUCAUAGUUUAACAGCAAAAUGAUUAAUUGAUUUUAAAGAUUUCAACGACAACAAGUUUUACGCUAAACACCUUAAAGUGACACCGCCAGAUUCAACCAUAACUCCUAGGCCGGGUUUGGGGUGUUACAAUGUGUUUCAACCCUAUUAUUAGAAACUGAUACCCUAUUAUUAGAAACUGAUAAUGGAAACACAACUUUUAAUUAGAAACCUCUAAUUUUAAAAUUCAAUAGGUAAAAGCAAGUUAUCGUUAAGUGCCUGUGAUACGCUAGUAAAACUCAUUCUAGAAAAAAAAGUUUAAUGGAAACAAUUGUUAUCCAUUGCGUAUAGAGGAUGAAUUUGAAUACUAUUAAUUAAGUUCAUUGUUUAUUGUUUAAAUGUCUAAAGUAAGGGAGACAUUAAAAGAACUCUACCUUUAUAAACAUAAGAAGUGGUGCCACUUCAACAAGUAAAGGUAGGGUCUCUCUUGUAAAUGUUUAUUAUGAACAAGAUAAGCACAUGAUCAUUUUAGUGCUAAAAGUGAACAACCUCUGAUAGAAAUAUAAACGAAUAUUAUGUAUAGUGUAUUUCAACUUCUAAUACUAGGAGUUGUGGUUCAAUCUUCGGACACCGACAACUUAUUAAAACUUUGAAAAGCAUCCGCUUAUUGAUGGUUCAUAUUGAGAGGUAUCAUCUUUAAUGCAUAAUAUUUGUUUGAGUGAAUGACCAUAAAGUAUGGUACCAACAUUUAAACUAAGGGUGAUUGUUAGUAGUUUAUAAUUUUGGCAGUAAAAAUAUUUUAUUAUGUAGAAAAGUCUAAUAAAUUAUAAUUAUUGGUCAAAUAGUUGUGUUGUAAAGACAAUUUUUGUAUGUAAAGUUGUCUUAUAAACUUUAUGUAAAGUUGUGUUGUAAAACAACAAAAUUAUAUGAAAAUGUAUCUUAUUAAAAGAUACAUCCAUAUGAAAGGGUAUCUCAUGAAAAGAUACACCUAUUAGAUGUCUAUAUAAAAGAUUUUUCUGUUAGUUAUUUAAAUUGUUUUGCUUGGAGUGUUGAGGGCUUUGUUGUAUCUUGAAGGUAUUUUAAAAUCUUAAAGAAAGUGCUCUACACACCUUAAAGUCAUUAUAUUUUAUAACAUUAUUUUAUUUUUCUAACUUUUAUUUUCCUAUUAUUUAUUUUUCUAACAGCUAGAAUAUAGGAAAAUUAUUAUGUUUCUAGCUAUAUAUUGAAUACAAGUAUGUUGGUGUUUAGAACUCGAACUUUGAUGGUUGAUCGAGAGAUUUGAAGCAGAAAGAAGAGACGGGAAGUUUUAAGUAGAAAAAUAAUUGAAGACUGGAAUAUAUAAUUGAUUUGCACCUCAACUAUUUAAAUACAAAAGUUCAAGCUAAAAAUAGAAAAAAAAAGUUCUAAAAAUCUGCUAAAAAUCUGGUAACAAAAUAGCAAACAAAUCAAAAAUCUAAUCUCCUAAAGUCAAGGAGAAUUAUUCAAACUUAGUAACAGAAAAAAUUUAAAUGGCAGCAAUCUUAAACACAUGAUCUUAACACUCCUCCUUGUUUAGAUGCUACAAACUCCAAGUUUCUUCCUGAAGCUUUCAAACUUGCUAAGUGGCAAUGGUUUGGUGAAGAUAUCUGCAAUUUGAUCUUCAGAUUUGUAGUAACAAAGAGACACAUCACCACUCUUUUAAACUUCUCGAACAAAAAAUAACUUGAUGUUAAAAUGCUUAGUCUUCCCAUGAAAGACUGGAUUGUUAGAGAUUGCAAUGGCAGCCUGGUUAUCAACUAGAAUCUUUGUGCUUUGCUUCUACUCCAUGUUUAGAUCAACAAGAAUCUUCCUUAACCAGAGAGCUUGGUUAACUGUUGCUGUUGCAGCCAUAAAUUCUGCCUCAACAGUGGAUUGAGCUACAGUUUCUUGCUUCUUCGAGCUCCAAGAGAACAUGCCUGAUCCAAGGCAAAAACAAUAACCAGAGGUACUCUUCAUAUCAUCAGUUAAGCCACCCCAAUCACUGUUAGAGAAACCAAUCAACUUCAAUUCCCUAUGCUUUAAAAACUUUACUCCAUAAUUCCAGGUCCCCUUGAUGUAUCUGAUAACUCUUUUUGCAGCUCUCAUGUGAGUCUCAUUGGGACAAUGCAUGAAUCUGGAGAGAAUACUUACAGCAUUCAAGAUGUCGAGUCUGGUUGUUGUUAAGUACAUUAGACAACCUACCAAACUCCUGAACUCAGCUUCAAUGACUUUGGCAGAACCAUCAUCUUUGAUUAGCUUCUCUUUUUGAUUCAUAGGAGUACUCAUUGCUUUGCAAUCUUCCAUAUGGAAUUUUCUAAGUAUCUCCUUUGCAUACUUUCUUUGACAGAUGAACACUUCAUCUUGGCUUUAUUUGAUCUCAAUGCCAAGGAAAUAAGACAUCAGAUCAAGGUCUGUCAUUUCGAAGACAUUAUGCAUUUCCAAUUUAAACUGAUUAACUUGAUCGAUAUUGCUCCUUGUAAUCAAUAAGUACAAAUAAGCAAGCUUUUUCCUUUGAUUUCCUUAUCUUCUUUUCUUUUUGUGCUUUAAUCUGUGCCACAGUAGGAUUUGCUGGAAGAGGUGGGACCUCGUAAUCCUCUUCUACAGGUUCCCAAAGAUCCAAAGCCUCUAUGUAAGUCUCCAUGCGAACUGCCUACAUCUGGUAAUUGUCUCCAUCGAAGACUGGUGGUGCAGCAACUGAAAAACUGGACCCUCCUUCCAUAUUAACACGCAAAUAACCUAACAAAUCCCUCAAGAAAAUAGCUCUGAUACCAAUUUGUUGGUGUUUAGAACUCGAACUUUGAUGGUUGAUCGAGAGAUUUGAAGCAGAAAGAAGAGACGGGAAGUUUUAAGUAGAAAAAUAAUUGAAGACUGGAAUAUAUAAUUGAUUUGCACCUCAACUAUUUAAAUACAAAAGUUCAAGCUAAAAAUAGAAAAAAAAUGUUUUAAAAAUCUGCUAAAAAUCUGGUAACAAAAUAGCAAACAAAUAAAAAAUCUAAUCUCCUAAAAUCAAGAAGAAUUAUUCAAACUUAGUAACAGAAAAAAUUUAAAUGGCAGCAAUCUUAAACCCAUGAUCUUAACAAAGUACUACUUGGAAGCCAACACCCACAAACAUGAUAAAAGUUAAUUUUGAUGAGAGUUUUGACAUGGAAGCAAGAAAUGAGGAAGAGGGUAGUUAUGCAGCAUUGUGAUGAUUUUUUAGUCUGACUAUGCAACCAUCCAAUUUAGGGUGCAUUCUCCAUUGUGGUGAAAAAGCACUUAAAGAACAUUUGGUUUUUGCACUUAAAAUGUGAUGGAAAAAUGUUUUUCCACCCAAAUACAAAAACUAGGAUAUAAAUGUUUUUGACUUUUAGCUUUUAUGUUUGGAAGUGAAAAUUAUCAAAAUAUCAUUAUUUAUAUUAACUAUUUAAAUGGUAUAUAAAAAUUAGAUUAAUUUAUAUUUUAUAUAUCAUUAUAUUAAAUUAUUUAAAUAUUAUUUAUUAUUAUAUAUUUUAAUAAUUUAUAUAUCAUCUAUUUUACAAAUAAUUUAUAUUAAUUACUUAAAAAAUAUUUGGAACUUAUAUUUCAUGUAUCAUUAUAUUAAAUUAUUUAAAUAUCACAUAAUUUAACUAAUUUUUUACUUUCCACUAUCAUGUCUAAAGAAAAGGAUAUUUUAACUUUUAACAAGAAUUUUUUGUAGCAAUGGAGAACACCAAAAAUUAAUAAACACACUUUUUCAUAGUAAUUUUCAACCACACUUUUCAACCGCAACCCUAAUGAAGAAUUAAUCCUUACUAAAGUUACCGAAGCACUAGCUUCCACCGUAGCCAUUGAAAUGGCGCUCCAAUUGGGAUUGCAACACAUUAUUAUUAAAGGAGAUGCUCUCCAAGUGGUUUCGGAGUUGAAGGAAGACAAAGGAGACCUACCAACAACCGGACCUUGAUAGCAAAGAGUUGAAUACUUGCUAAACAGGUUCAGCAAUGUAGGUUUCAACACAGGAAGAGGCAUGCUAAUGAGGUGGCACAUCAUCUGACCAAACAGGGCCUUAAUUGUUUUCCAUCUUUUGUUCAUAUGUUUGUUUUGAAAAGGUAAAACAAAUCCUCACCUAUUGAUGUUAGAACGGUUGAAUUGCUAAAAGCAUGCUGCAUGCAUAACCAUGCUUUAGGUUAGGCUUCAAAUUAAAUAAAUUUUAAAUUAUUUUUAUUUAAAUUUAAUUAUAAAAAUAAAUUAAUAUCAAUAGAAAAUUAUAUAAAAUUUUAAGAUAUUUUAUUUUUCAAUAAUAAAACGAAUCAUUCACCAAACCUAAUUCUUCAAUUUCUUUUUAAUUAGAUCACAACUCAAGCCAAGCUAACCAAUAAACACCCAAAAUCUACCAUCAUUUUCAUUUUCAUUUUUUUUUCUUUUGUGACAAAGUAGACAGAAGAUUCGGUUUGGAUAAGCUCUACGUUAUUAAGUCAAAAGCUGAAGUAAUUUUAAUCAUAAAUUGUUUUAUUUGUCUAUAAUGCAAAACAAUGACCCAGUUAGUACAAUAAAGCUUUAACUUUGUGGAACAUUUCAGUCCAAAAAAAAAAAAAAAAAGAAUUGUGGAAAUUUUAGAGCAGUUGACCAUUUCUUCGGAAUUAGUUUUCUCACUUCUUGUCCAUAUUCCAUGUAUAUUAUUUCAAGAAAUUAGGUUUAGAAAUUUGCAUAAUUCAACCAUUGAACUAAUAAAUAUUAAACAAAAAUUGGGUGGCAAAAAAAAUCUUAUUAAAAUCAUAUACUAUUACUAAAAUUUAUGAUUAAAUUAGUGUCACGAGUUAACGGGACAUUAACAAAUUAUAUUAUUUGAGGGUAUUUUAAUCUUUUUAUUAAAAAAGAUGAUGUCUCAAAUUAACUCACAAUCUAAUCUAAUUUUUCAUUUUAAUAUUGUAAAUAUUUCAUGUUUUAUUAUUAAUUUGUUUCAAAUUAUACAUUUCAUUAUUUAUUUUAUGUUAUUUUUAAACACAUCUGUAUUCUAAGUACCUAAUUUUCACUUAUGGGUAUCAGAGGCGAAUCUAGGGAGGCUGAUAGGGGUCUCGGUCCCCUUAAAAUAGAAAAUUAUUAUUUAAGCCAUUUAGAAAAUUUUAAAAUUUUAAAUUAGUAAAUGUAAAAUUACACUUUGACCCCUCUAAAAUUAUAAAAAUUUGAUUUAAUCCUUUAAAAAUUAUAAAGAUAUAAACUAUUAAAAAUAAAAAUUUCAUUUCGGCCCUGCCUAAAAAAUUUUUUUGACUUCACCCCUAAAGUAUGAUAGAGUUUCUAGUAUGAAUAAUUUUCUUUGGAAGUGUUAAACAAACAAAGGAGUUAAGUAAACAGUAGUUUUCAUACAGAAAUAUUCGGCGUUGAUGUUUCCCUUUCGAAUAAUUAAAUUAAGACUUAGGAAAAGGGAAAACAAUGAAAAAGAAACUAAAAUUGAGCUUAAUUUAUGGAGUUGGGUUAAAAUUUUAAUAUUUAAAUAUAAAAAUUCUAAUAAUUUGAUCUGGUCCGUUUCAUCUAGCAGACUAAUAAUAAAUCUUAAAACAUAUUAUAUUUUAAUUUAAAUAAAACCAAAACUAAUACACUUGACCUACAUCUACAUGUGAUCUAUGCUUCAUUUAAAUUAGUCUAAAUUAGACGAGAUCUUGAUUAGGAGUCAUUUAUUUAUAUUAUAAGUCCCUGAAACAUGCAAAACUUACAUUUAAAAAUUAAUAUUUUUACGUUGUUGUUAGAAUAUAGGGUUUGUUAAUGUUUUCGUGUGAAGUCAGCUGUUGACAUUACCAAUCAGAUAAUGAAAAGGAAACAUGGCAAUUAUUCCAUCCUAAUUGUCACCAAAUUAAGUUAAUCCAAAAAUUACCAAACGUUUAGUACUUCAAUGGUAGAGUCAGCUCUUUCUUCUAGUCUAUCAAAAAAAGUCAAUUUAACCCCUAACUCUUGGAUGGAAAAGUUUUUGCUAUGAACUUGUUGAAGUGAAUCUCAUGUGAUAUAAACGCAUCGCAAUCUCCGUGUGUAACUAAAAAUAUUUGAGAGAUUGAAUAAUUUAAAGGGGAAAAAAAAAGAAUUUACUCCCUCCACUAACAAAUUACUCUUGCCAACGUAUGUAUGAAAGUAAACACCUUUAAUUAAUCAACAAAUGCUAAAGUUCGAGGUUUAGAAUUAAUUAAAUACCAAUAUAAAUAGUUAAUUACUUUUUUGAAAUAAGGAUAAAUCAGUUUGUGAGGUUUGAAUUUUUUGUAUCUUAACAAUUGUUCUGACUUUAGAGUUUGAAGGUUUUUUUUUUAUCCAAAUUAACCUAUGAACUUAGUAAUUUGUCUCUCAUUAAGGUUUAAAUUUUUUAUUUAUCUAAGUUAAUUCUUAAAAAUCUUGAAAUUCGAGAAUAAUUGUCAAGUUAAAAAAAUUUAGAUUUCAAUAUGAGAAUAAUCUACUAGUUCGUAACCUUAAUAUAAAAACAAUUGUUAAGUUGAAAACUUAAUUUAAAAACAAAUUCAAACCCUUCUUAAGUUUACGAUUUAACCCUUUGAAAUAUUGCGUUAACUAGUAAGAGUAAGAAUUAUUUUGUGUUGAUGAUUAAAUAAAUAUUUAAGUGGAGAUCAAGUUUUACCUCAUUUGUCAAUUGUCAGGUGAAGAAUAUAUACCCCUAAAGGCCUAUCAAAAACGGACCUAUCUCUAUCUAUAUAUCUUAACUAAUUUACUAUUCAUUUUUAAUGAAAAUCAAUAAAUCAAUGAAAACGUUAUAAAAAGAAAACUACGUGAAUAAAUUAUAUGUGUAAAAUUGAAAUAUUUCUUAUUUUAGUACAAUGGUAAGGAACAUUACAUUUUUAAGGAAAUGAUGUCAGGUUCAAACCUUAAAGAUAAUAUUCUUCUUCUUGAGAAGAACAAUCCCAAACUCCAAAAUGAACCCUUAUGAAUUAUAUAAAAAAAUUUUGAAAUAUUUCUAUAAAAUAUCAUUAAAGUUUUUUAUUUAAAAAAUGUUAUGGGUAUACUUUUACCUCUUGUAAAAAAGUCUUUCAUUUCUCAAUUCUUAUGGCAUAGUAAAUUUAUCAUUAAUUUUCAUCUUUAGGUAAAAAAAAUGGUUAUUAUUUGUGUAUUAAAUAAUUGUUAGGAUAAAUUUUAAAAUUGUAUAUGAAUUUUGGUUUAAUGUUAAUUAUAUACAUUAAUUUUAAUUUUAUGUAAUUUUAUAAAUGAAAUUUUAAUUUGAUCCAAUUCUAACAAAUUAUUAACACAGUUAUUGAUAUAACAUCAUUUUAUGUUUAUAUGCUAUAUACAGAAAUAAUUAUGUUUAUUCAAUAUAAAAAUAAAUUGAUGUAUUUAUUUCUUUAAACAUAUAUGAUUGAAUCAAAAUUAAAACAUCGUGUAUAUAUUUGAACCACAAUUAAAAUUUUACAUAUAAAAUUACAUAAAAUUACAAUUUAUAUACGUAAUAAACUAAAAUUCAUAUAUAAUUUUAAGAUUUAUGUCCACAAUUCUCUAAAGCUAAACGGUGAUGAUUACCAUGGAAAUUCAAUGUACUUAACUAAUUGGUUGAUAGGAACAGGCAUGAUGAAAUCCAUGAUGGGAAGAGAGAGAAUUCAAAAACUGGAAUGCCCCCAUUAAUCCAUGCAAAUAAACUUUUUCGGUAUUACAUCAUAAUUCAUUUAAUUUUAUCAUCAUCUCUAUGCCAUAACCAUGUUUAAAGUAAAAUACUUAUAUAAAUUGAGACAUUAAUAGUUUGUAUUAUAUAAAUUAUGACAUCCAUAUAUCCAUAUUAUAAUUUUUAUGAAAAAUUAGAGCUGGCAGAUAAAAAAUGGCUUACUGAUCAAUGAAAAAUAAACUUUAUUUCUUGUAAAUUGACUUAUCCUUUUAAAAAGUAUAAAUAUUUUUUUAAAAUUCAUUUAUGAGUAAUUUUAUUAUUAUAAAAAUUAAUUUUGCAAAGUCUAAUAUUAUUAUAUUAAUAAUUUUAUUUUAAAACUAUUUAAAAAUACUAAUAUCAAAUAUUAUAAUGUUGAAUCCUAGUAACAUACAUAUUAAAUUAUUUAAAUUAUGUAAUAUUGCAAUUUUAUUUUAAUACUAAAUUUUAACAACAAUAAUUUUAAAUUUUAGAUCAUAUUUUUAAUAUAUUAUUGAAAAAUAUUUAUAUUAAUAUUUUAAUAAUAAAUAUAUAUAUUAAAAUUUAUAAAUAUUUAAUAAUAAAUGUUUUAUAGUAUAAAAUAUGAAUAUUUUAAUUAUAUAGAUAUGAGCAUUUGUUUAAAUCAUGUUUAGUUUCAUUUAUCUCCCAACUAUAAUGUGUUAUUAUACACCGUCAUAUAUAUAAUAUAUGUAAUUUAAGCAUUGUUUAUUAUUAAAUUUAUAUAUGAUAUUAAUUAUUAUAAAAUAUUAUCUUAUUAUAAAAGAAAUUCUAAUUAUCAAAAAGAAAUGUUACUUUAAUAUUUUGUAACAAGUAUAUUUAUGUUGGGCUUGUUUCAAUAAUAACUUUAAAAUGAUUUUAGAAAAAAAAUUGUCAAAUAAUAAAAAAAUAUUUUAAGCAAAAUAAUUCAAACACAAAAAACUAUCAACUUUUCCAUAAAAUCAAUCCAAUUUUAAGAAAACAUUUUGUGAAAAUUGUUUUAGGUAAAACAAAAGGAACCUAUAUUUUAUAUAGUAUUUGAAAAGUUGUUGUAUCUAGAAUUAUUAUCUUAAAUAUUUUUUUAGGUCUAAUUUUAAAUUUCAUCCCUUUAUGAAAAUUGAGAAGUUAAAUUUUCUAUUUUACUUUAUCAGUCUGUGCUUGAUUGUUUAUUAAUUUGUCGUGUAUAAAUGGUUAAAUUAUUGAUUUUUGUUAAUUACUAGCAUGUAAAUUGUCAAACUACUUGUUCUCAAGGGAACGGUAAAGUUUAAUAGUAUUAUCAAUUUAGAACAAUUUUUGAGUUUUUUCUUUUAUUUUUCAUGUUCGAGUCCAUAAUUACUCCUUCUAAUAAUGUCGUCUUUAAAGUUUGAGUUCGAAUUCAAAUUCUCUUUUUGGAAGUACAAUAUGCCUUAUAAUUAUACCUAAUACUUUUGAUUUUUGUAAAAUAUAAGAAUCAAAAUUGUGUAGUAGGAUUAAUUUCUAGAUUUUUUAAAUUUAAAAUUUAUAAUAUUAUCAAUCGCAUCACACACAAAACCAAAGAACAAGAGAAUCUAAAAAACACGUGGACCAUUAAUUUAGGAAUGGACAUUAUAUUUUAUUAGUGGAAUAAACUCAUGCAAAAUGGUUGGAAAACACAUACAGGAUUAUAUAUACUAAUCAUUUUUAUUAUUAAGCAGAAUCGGAAAUAAAUAAAUACGAGCGAAACCACUGAAUAAUACAGCAUUGAAAUGCAAUUUGUCUACAUCAUUAUUGUUCUUCACUUCAAACGCGGAGACUAGUCUAGGCUCCCAAUCUUUUGCUUUAUCUCUCUAGAUAUAUCCUUUUCAAACUAUCUUUUUGUAGCUUUAUUUGCAUCACAGCAUUAUCUUUUCCUGCAAACAACUGUUCAAUGAUUAAAACAUGCAAAACAUUCUGAAAUAAUGCACCCUUACCAGAUGACAAAAAAAAAAAAAGAUUCUAAUGUAUCUUACCUUGGAUUGGAGCACGGUCAAAGCCGUGGCUUAGUAGUGGUGAGGAGGAGGGGGUGAAGCGUAGACAUAAUGGGGUGGUGGUGGUGGAGGAGACUUGUAUUUGUAAACUGGAGGAGGAGGUGGUGGAGACUUGUACUUGUAAGGGUGCUUGGGGGGUGAUGGUGGGGGUGGUGGGGGUGACUUGUACUUGUAGGGGUGCUUGGGUGGUGACGGUGGGGGUGGGGACUUGUACUUGUAAGGAUGCUUGGGGGGUGAUGGUGGUGGUGGUGGAGGUGACUUGUACUUGUAGGGGUGCUUGGGUGGUGACGGUGGGGGUGGGGACUUGUACUUGUAAGGGUGCUUGGGUGGUGACGGUGGUGGUGGUGGGGGGGACUUGUACUUGUAGGGAUGCUUUGGUGGGGAUGGUGGUGGUGGUGGUGGGGACUUGUACUUGUAGGGAUGCUUAGGUGGUGAUGGUGGUGGUGGUGGAGACUUGUAUUUGUAAGGAUGCUUUGGUGGUGAUGGUGGUGGAGGUGGUGGGGACUUGUACUUGUAAGGGUGCUUGGGUGGUGAUGGAGGUGGAGGUGGUGGAGACUUAUACUUGUAAACUGGAGGUGGUGGGGGUGGAGACUUGUACUUGUAAGGGUGCUUGGGUGGUGACGGAGGUGGAGGUGGUGGAGACUUAUACUUGUAAACUGGAGGUGGUGGGGGUGGAGACUUGUACUUGUAAGGGUGCUUGGGUGGUGAUGGUGGGGGUGGGGGUGGCGACUUGUACUUGUAGGGGUGUUUAGGUGGUGAUGGUGGUGGUGGUGGUGGUGGUGGGGACUUGUACUUGUAAGGAUGCUUGGGUGGUGAUGGUGGUGGAGGAGACUUGUACUUGUAAGGAUGCUUGGGUGGUGAUGGUGGUGGAGGUGGUGGAGACUUAUACUUGUAAACAGGAGUUGGUGGGGGAGGAGAUUUGUACUUGUAAGGUUUCUUGUGUGGUGGUGGUGGUGGAGGAGAGUAGAUCGGAGGAG